Molecule: long non-coding RNA, 75954 nt
Filed under: Olea europaea (common olive)
Lineage: Eukaryota; Viridiplantae; Streptophyta; Magnoliopsida; Lamiales; Oleaceae
Description: long non-coding RNA (OEUR_LNC005256)
Source: RNAcentral
GUUGGGGAUCCUAGGAGUUCAAACAACCAAACCAACAAUCAACAAAACCAGAUUCAAGGCAAAAACAAAGAAAAAACGGGAAUGGAAAAAUACAACCCUUUUUUGUUCAGAAAUCUGUCCAGCUUCUUCUUCUUCGUUUCAGCAGCUUCUUCUUCCUUUUAUGGGUGUUUUUUCAGGCUCAGGAACAACCUCCAUGCUAUGCCAAUUGCCUUCCAAAGAGAGAGGGGAAAAACCAAUGAAGAACCACCACCCUUUUGCUAAAACGAGAGCUCCACCUUUCUGCUGGAAUGAAAGAGACCGAGAGCUCCUCUUUCUGCUGCUGCUGCUGGGAAUUACUGAGACUGAGAGCUGCCCCCUUAUUCAAAUAUAAAAUGGUAGAGUGUACAUAAUGAAGGGGUAGGAAGAAGACCAUGCCUCUGCCAAAUGAAGGGAAGACCUUAUUGUGUCAACCUCACUCCCAUCAACUCACAACAUUAGGUGGUGGGGUUAGGUGAACCAUAUCUUCACAUUCUUCACCUUGGUUCUCCUAACACUCUCUCUUGGUUGCGAAUUUGCACAUGGAAGAACUGUUCAUCAUCAUCGCCCACCACCUGCAAGAAAAAUUAACCAGUGUCAAUGUGUAAUAAAGAUAAGCACAAUCUAAAUUUACUUGCAGGUAGAAUUUUUGUUCCCAUAUCAGAGGGAUUCCUAUCAGUGUGAAUUUUAACAAGAUUAACUUCACCUUGAGACAGUUUCUCACGUAUAAAAUGAUACUUUACCUCAAUAUGUUUAGUUCUUUCAUGGUAAACAGGAUUUUUACAAAGCAAUAAAGCACUUUGACUAUCAGUAAACAUAACAGGUGUAUCAUGCAUGAAGUUCAAUUCUUUUAAAAUUCCUUUUAACCAAAUACAAUUUUUUUUAGAGCUUCGGUUAUAGCUACAUAUUCAGCUUCAGUGUUGGAUAGUGUAACCAAAGGUUGCAAUUGAGAUUUUCAAGUUAUGCAAUUGUCUCCAAGAGUAAAGAAAUAGUCUGUAGUUGAUUUUCUACUACCUUUGUAACUAGCAAAGUCAACAUCUACAUAAACCUUAAGGGUUAAAGAUUUCAGUUCUUCUCUAAUACACUAGACCCAAAUUUAAUGUCUCAACAAUAUAUCUCAAAACCAUUUCAUUCUAGCCCAAUGGUGCUUACCAGGGUUGGUGGUGUGUUGUCGUAGGCAACCAAAAAUAAAACAUAUAAUCCUAGAAAUCUAGGUAAUAGUGCGAGUAAGGAUCGUUCACACAAAAAGUGUCUAAUCUAACUUUAUGCUAUGUAAACAAUGAAGAAGGUUUUUUAUUAUAACACAACCAAUCUAAAGAAAAUAACUAAUAAGCAAUGCUAAUUGACGGAUCGAAAUAAAUAAAAAGAACAAACCUUGAUCUAAGUUAACAUCCACCGUCAAAAGUUCACAACUGAUCAUUGAUCCAUAUAUAAAUAUCAAUUCAUAUUUUUAGCAUUCAUCAUUGGAAUUAAUUUCCUAUCUAUCCUUAAUUGUAGUUAAUUAGAAAACAAGCGAUCCAAUUAACCUUAAUUACUAGACAACCUAAGAAAUGUGCUAAGGUUUAAUCUAAUAACAGCCCUAAGAAUUAGAGAGAUCGAUGAAUAUAAAUAAUACAAGCACAAGUGGUUAUAUUUGAUCUACUCAUACGUUCGUCCCAAGAUUUAACAAUUUCUAACGCAACAAGCCAUUAAAUCCUAGUUACUUCACUAGUUAAAUGAAUCAAACAAUUACGGAUUUGAUAUUAAUCAAUCAACAGAUUGUAGCAUAUAAUAAAUUAGUAGGCCUCCAAGUAAUUAAACACAACAAUUAUGAAAAUACAUGUAGAAGAAUAUUCAAUACUCAAAACAUGAAUUAAACAAUGAAAAUAAUUUAGAUCUCACAGUUUAAUUUGUCUCGAGGCUUCAGUUUCCUUUGACUAAGUACAAGAAUUAACCAGACACGAAAAUUGAAAGUCUCAAAGAGAGGAGAAGGUGAUGGGAGGCGUGUGUCCUUCUUUUGGACGGUCAUAGGGUUUAAAAAAAGGUUCUUGAAUUGUUUCCAUAAAAGUUUUAAUCAAAUAAGGAAACCAAAAUUUUUUGACUGAAAUUGUACUAUGCAACCGCAUAGUAUAUUUCGAUGAGACCGCAUAGUUCAACUAAAAUCACCCCUUCAAUUCUAUGAAGAUACAUGUUACUCAACUUACAACAUUUAUGUUUUAGCCCUCAAACACGUUUUCUCAUUUCUUGACCUUUUUUUGUCAUUUCUUCUUUUUCCAACACUUCAUGUCUUCAACAAAUUGGUCAUUAACUCUUUCACAUCCUUGUUUAUGCUUCCGGGUCAUCUUUCAACUAUUUGCACUUUGGUCCCUAAACUUUAGUUUUCUUCCAUUUUGGUCAUUUUCCACUUGUCUAUCCUAAUUUUCGCUACAUUCAUCAAUUUGCAUCCUAAAUCAAAAUACAAGAAUAAUGAGUACAUUUAGGCACCAAAUAAUUAUAAAAGCAUACAUAUUAAGAGAGGAAUAAUAUAACAUUUUACAUUCUCAUCAAAUUCUCCUACUUAACUUUCGUUCAUCCUCAAGCAAAAUUCAAAUUUACUUCACCAAAAACAUCAAGGUUGCAAUGCUAUCGACAUAAAACAACCAAACUCUUUAAAAUACAUAAUAUAUCAUGAAUAAACAUGAUCAGACAACACAUAAUUACUUAGUAAGCAUUUUCUUUCGAAAAUGGAGUAAACUAAACAUGCAGAACCUUAUGGAAAUAAGUACUCGACUCUCAUGUGUUUAAAGGGUAUGUGUUUUGCUCAAAUUCAUUUCAAUGGAAAUGAUCUACCAUAUGCUUUCAUAUCUUCUCACUUGCCACCAUUUAGAUCACCUGCAUAACACGAAUCACAAGGACUUUUCAAGGGUUGUAAGGUGGCUUUGGCAUAAGGUGGGAAGUAUUUGAGAAUGUAGCUCAAAAGCCAUCGAAACUAAUGGAGCAAAAAAAAAAAUGUAACAACUCAAACUCAAAUACGUGUAAUACAUGCAUAACCAAUCACUCCACUCACAAUUUCUUUGAUUUGCAUCUAUCUCAUUUAAUGCUAGGAGAAAAUGUGAAUAUAGAUAGUUUGUAACAUUAAAAACUAUUUCUUCCAUCACUUCCUUUUUCCUUUCUUUUUUUCGUUGUUUUUUUCUUUUUCUUUCACUCAAAACAUUACAUCGACAAUGGAACUUAUGAAUUGAAAAAAAAAUCUCAAUAUCUUAUAUUCUUCUUCGGAACCUAUUUGACUCAAGCAAUUAAGCCUGCGGGCUUUCUCAUAACCUGGUGCCUAUAGUCAACUGACUUGGAUUAAUUGGCCUAAAGUUCGCUACAAGGUCAUCUUAGUUAGUUAAUGGAAAAAGACCUACACUUAAGAUGUAAAAUAUGAUGAGCUUAAAAAAUAUUGAAGGAUAUGUAUAAAAUUUAUAUAUGAUCAAAGUUAGGGGAAGAAAAGAAAAUAUCCACACAAAAUGAGCUUUGAUUUAAAUGUUCUAAUGUGCUUUAAAUGGUUUAACUAUCAUAAAUAGAGGAAUAAACUUAUUAACAGUGAUGCUUAGCAUGUCCAUUCUCACAAAAUUAAGGUUUGGAGUUUUGCUUAGCAAGGAUUAGUGACACUUUACAAACAUGGGUCACUUAUAUAAUUUACUCCAUGUUAACUUGGACUGAGUAUGUGGAAAGGUUUACUGAUCAUUGAUUAUUCUUGUUCAUGCUAUCAACUGCAUAUUUUGAGUUAUUGUAUUGAUGUUAAAAAUUUUGAUAUUGAUCAUUUCGUCAUUUGUGACAAAAAAAUGGGAGAGUAAUUAUUUCGAUAGGGGAUAAAGACUAUAUCAAUAUCAUCUAUAACAUUAUAUCUUUAUACCUUGAAAGAGAAUUGCAUGUUGGGGGAGAUUGAUUAGAGUUUCCAAUAAGGAGAUAUUGAUUAUUUUCAUUGCAUUCCAUAUCAUAAUGUAUAGCUGUUUGAGCUUUUGAUGUUUUGUAAUACUAAUGUUUUGGCUGAUGUGUUUGAUUGACAUUAGUAUUACUUCUCAUUUAGCAUUCUUAUGUAUGAUCAUGUGCCUAAAUUGCUAUAUUUUUUGUAUCAAGUGCUUCUACAGUUGGUAUUUGAGGAGCCGCCGCCGCCGGUCACGCGCCCCACCACAGGGUGAGCCUCCUCCUGCUGGUCAUGGUUCCAUGGUCCAUUUCGCCGGAAAGUCAAUCGGUUGGCCGGAAAUCAAGUUUUUCAGAUUCGGUUAGAAUGUGAAAAUGGUGAUUUCUUGCUGGUUUUUGAUCGAUUUUUGGACUAAUAUCACUCCUCCUAGCUCUGAUACCAGUUUGUUGGGGAUCCUAGGAGUUCAAACAACCAAACCAACAAUCAACAAAACCAGAUUCAAGGCAAAAACAAAGAAAAAACGGGAAUGGAAAAAUACAACCCUUUUUUGUUCAGAAAUCUGUCCAGCUUCUUCUUCUUCGUUUCAGCAGCUUCUUCUUCCUUUUAUGGGUGUUUUUUCAGGCUCAGGAACAACCUCCAUGCUAUGCCAAUUGCCUUCCAAAGAGAGAGGGGAAAAACCAAUGAAGAACCACCACCCUUUUGCUAAAACGAGAGCUCCACCUUUCUGCUGGAAUGAAAGAGACCGAGAGCUCCUCUUUCUGCUGCUGCUGCUGGGAAUUACUGAGACUGAGAGCUGCCCCCUUAUUCAAAUAUAAAAUGGUAGAGUGUACAUAAUGAAGGGGUAGGAAGAAGACCAUGCCUCUGCCAAAUGAAGGGAAGACCUUAUUGUGUCAACCUCACUCCCAUCAACUCACAACAUUAGGUGGUGGGGUUAGGUGAACCAUAUCUUCACAUAAGUCAAUGGACUAAUAAAUAAUUCCACAAUGAAAAAAAGAAAAGUUUUUGGAGAGUGUGACAGCUUGUUUGAGAAUAUGUUGAUACUAAAUUUGGUUAUACCAAUUGUCCUGGUUAUAUUAAACAUGGUAAGAGGAUGUCAAAGUUGAUACUAAAUUUGGGGUAACCAAUUGUCCUCGUUUUACUAAACAUAGUAAAAAGACGUCAAAAAUGUUAUGAUUUUGUUCUCACAUUUUGUGUUUGUGUUACAUUUGCAGUAGUGCUGUGAAUGAUUACAUACAAGCAACUAGAAAUCUGGCAUGCGAGAUUCUUGAUUUAGUGGCUGAAGGGCUAUGGAUGGAAGAUAAAUCCAUUUUUAGUCAACUCAUUGGGGAUGUAAAUAAUGAUUCAUGCUUCAGAAUUAAUCACUCUCCUUCAGUCAAUAUGUUCAGCAUCCAAAUUGUUUGAGCAUUCAAAGACCCGUAUAGGAUUUGGAGAGCAUUCCGAUCCUCAGAUAUUAACAAUUUUGAGAUCAAAUGACAUUGGUGGCCUUUAGAUUUGUUCGCGAGAUGGUUUAUGGAUCCCUAUUCCCCUUGACUCCAAUCAAUUUUGCAUCUUUGUGACGAUAUCUUUCAGGUUAAUACAAUGCUCUAUGCUUCGAGCAAAUGCAAUUUACUGUUAACUUCUUAUUGUUUACACGAAUUGUACUUGGAUUGUGAAAUGUAGGUUUUCACAAAUGGAAGAUUUGAAAGCGUAAGACAUAGGGUAGUUGCAAGUGCAAUUAAACCUAGAUUGUCAAUGAUGUAUUUUGCAGCGCCUUCCCUAGAUGAAAAGAUAUCCCCUAUGCCACAAAUGGUCUUGUUGCAAAAUCGAGCUCUCUAUCAGUCUUUUACUUGGAGAGAAUAUAAGACAAGUAUAUAUUCCUUACAGUUGGCUGACCACCGUCUUGAUCUAUUUACAAACCAAGAGAGUUGAUUUAACAGGAUUUUGUAAUCUGUUACUAAGUGCUAGAGUAGGCCAUUUAGGGUUGCACAUUCAUGUAACUGGUAACAAGUUGCACAAUGUUUAUAAGGUGAUGAUAUAUGUGUAAAUGUGUGAAAUAAUAUUUGUUUUCUUUGCUAAAAUAGUACAUGUUAACAUGAUAUAAUAGUAUUGAAGAAGAUCAAUAGUACUAGCUAUUUUUAUAUAAUGAUAGAAAUACCCAAUAUAACCUAAUUCCCAGUAAAACUUAAAGUAUGAGAAUUAAGAUUCUAACACUCACUACAAGAAAUAUGAGUUUUACCAACCAAAAAAAGGUCGUCAAAAGUUCAAUAUUAGCUAGUAAAACCAUUCAUUGACUAGAAAGUGUUGGUCGGAAGUUGAUCGCCAAAAGCUAGCCAACAAAAGUUUUCACUGACUAGAGUACAUAUUAGUUAGGAAACGUAGAGUUUUUACUUACCAAAGUCAUGUUAGUCCGAAGUCACAAAACAAUGGUCACAAUCAAAAGCCUAUAGCAAAGUAAAUGCAAGGUUAAAUAAUAAGACAGAUGUGUGUGUGUGUAUGAAUUAGUUUUACAUGAUAAAAUAAUAAUUUGAUUAUUUUAUGCUUCUAUCUGAGUUGAGAAUCAUCUUAGUUUAGCAGCCACCGCUUUGAAUUCUACUAUGCAAUUUUUGGCCCGAUAUCGGAUCAAGAAUGGGCUCUUGAUCACCAAAGGAAAUUGCCUCUAGUUCUUGAAAGACCUUGACAAUGCUCUUCCAAAUUAAAAUGUGGUAGAUGUGAUUGGAUAUCUUUUAUUCUUAUCAUUCCAUGUCAAGCCUGCCAUGUCAAUGUGCAUCCACUGAACCUUCUUACCAACAAACUACAGAAAAAUAAUUACAUGUCAGAUAUCUCAACGACUACAUACCACAAAUCAUCUUUAGUGGAUCAUAAAAGAUAUGGAUUAAAGUACAAAGACAAGUAAUGCCAACGUUUAUUUUUACAUGCAAGUAUAACAUGUCACAUUCAACAAUUGUCAUCAAAGUAGUGUUUGAUAACCUCCAAUUUCAUGGAAAAUGAAAAUUCAUUUCCACCUUUUGCCAAAAAUGAGUGUUUGAUAGGUAAAAAAUUCUAGGGAACUCAUUUUCCAUGAUUCUUGCCACCUAAGCAAUUUUCUCACUUUUCCUUGAAUUGGAAUUCUAAUUCCGAUUUACUGUAGCAGAAUUUUAUUUUCAAUAUUUAUUUAUUAUUUUUUUUGGGCAAUGGAAACAAAUUCUAAGAAUAAUUGUAAAGAAAUAUUUUUCUUUAAUUGGCAAUUUCCAUGUAAAACAAAGCCAAAUGAAUACCAAAAGAUAGAUGAUUUUCUUUAUUUUUAUUUAUUUAUUUUUGGGUUGGCAAUGGAAACAAAUUUUAUCCCCAAUACUAGUAAAAUAUAUCCCUCUAAUUGAUAAUUUUCAUGUAAAACAAAGUCAAAUGAACACCAAAAAACACUUUUAUUUCAACGUUUUACACUAGAAAAAUUAUACCAAUCAAACAUAAUAAUUUACAAUUUUCAGGAAAAUAAUUUCUAGCAAUUCAAUUCCAUCUUUACAAUCAAAUGGACCCUAAAUUUGUUUAUGCCAUAACAAUGAGCAAUAAAUCCAUAAUAAAAUCCACUAUCUUCAUUCUCCCAGUUAAUAUUACUCAACUCUUCCAUCAAGCUUCUAAUUCCUCCUCUCUAACUUUCAAUCUGACCCCACGUCUAGCGCCUUCAUCAUCCCUGUCAAUAUUUCUCGACUCUUCCAUCAAGCUUUUCAAGUUCAGAUCUACCCUAGCAAAAUAAUCUUUGUUCCUCUUCUCCCAGUCAUUCUUAAUAAAAAGUUAUUUCUUGUUAGUUUUUUAAAGUAGUGGACCCCUUGAAAUUUGUAGUUUUACUACAAAUCUCUAGCCAAUUCCAGAAAACCUUAAUGUUUGGGGAAUAUAUUUUCAAGUCUAAAAGCUCUCCUCAAAACACCACCAUCAGAGAACAAGGGGAAGCAAUCAAACACUAAGUCGGGUAAACAAAAGUGGAUAGAGUGAAGGAACAUCUCUUUCUAAUAAGAGGAAAAUAAGAAACGAUAAUUGCUAGCAUAUAUAGAAGGGAUUUUCCCAUUAGUUAGUAUUAAGAUGAUCAUUUCCUCAAAUUUUCAAUUUUUAGUUACCAUCACAAACCAAUUUCUUCAAUUCCCUUUCCUUUCUAGGAUCAAGUGAGAACCCUUCUGCUUUCUCCUUAACAAAUGCUGACCACAUAUAGAAGUCUCAAUUAGUUCAAUAAGGUGCUCACAUACAAUUUGAGGAUACAAUGCUAAAAUAAAAUAUGUUGUCUUUAAAGGGCAUUCGGCACACAAAACAUUUGAGAAGCAGAAAGCCACUUCAGUUUUGAUUCUAAAUUAGGGCAAAAUUCCUAGGCAGUUCAACUCCAUAACUGUUUGCAAACUCUAAGGAAAUAUGCUUGAUUAUAAGCACCACAUCUAGUUAUAUAACCUACAAGGAAUCUAUACAUAACUAUACCUAAAACAUAUCAGGUGUCUUGACAAAUUCAACUAUGGAGCAAACUGCUUCUUCUUUGGCUUCACUCAUGGAUAGUUCAUCUUUACCAGAAAAAGUCGCCAGAUAUUAGACAAGAAAUUUAAAAGAACCUUUUGGGGAGUUGAAAUUGUUGCAUAAUUCAUCCAAAAAAAAAAAACCAACUAUUAGGUCCAGAUCGAAAUUAUUUUGUGGUUUUCACGUUUAAAAAUAAUUGCAGAAAUAAUAAAAGAUCAACACAAGAAUUUUUCGCCCCAAAAAGGGGCCGGAUGUUCAGCCUUUAGGCCUAAUCACCCGUUGAGCAUCUGUAACACAGAUAGAGCUCAAGAUCCUCUAAGAAGAACCAAGAAAUGUUACAAAUGUACGAAGAAACAGAAUGUUUCUUCGAUAUAUCUCUCUAGCCUCUUUACUAUAGGAAAUCACAAAGAUCAACCUCUACCAUAAACGCAUUCAACUCUCAUUUACAUAACAUAUGAAAGACUCACCACUAAGAUGAAGAUCGAAUUUACAGAGAGAAAGAAUUCAUCAAACUCUAACUGCACUCAGAGAAUGGGAAAAGUCAGAGAGAGAGAGAGUUACGAAGCUUCUACACGAAUAAAGAGCUAAAACAAAGUUAAAAUAUCUGGUCAACCAAAAGACGUGAUCCAAGGGUUGAGGAUUAGCCACGUUUACGGCUGAUACUCAUUCUUUUGAGACAUUAAAAGCGUGUUUUACAAAAAGUGCGAUUUCUUUGUGACCCCGUCCAUACUCAAUGGGCCAAAAGUUUGUGAGGUAGCCCAAAAGAAAUUAGUUUAACAUUCUCUACCUUGCUGAACAAUUCUUUUGGGGCUUGAUAGUGGACCUUGUACUUCUACAUAUGAUUACUUCCUUUGCUCUAAGUUUCUGUAAAAACAAAAAAAAAAAAAUUCAGUUAGAACAUAUACUACAAAUUGUGCUCAAAGAAUCUGGAUGCCACUUCCUCAAGUGAUAUUAAGGAUCUUCAAGCAAGUUUUGAAUUUAUUUAAAGGUAAUACCUUUGUCCCCAGAUAUGAAGGAUUGUAUUCUAAAGGUAUUUUUAUCAGUUUAAUCAUACAUUUUCUGCUAUAUUUCUUACAAAAUGAUACUUUAUAUCUAUGUGCUUGGUCCUGUCAUGAUAUACAGGAUUCCUACUUAAAUGUAUGGCACUUUGAUUAUCAGUAUAAAUCCUUACAGAAUCAUUAAUGAAACUUAUUUCAUUUAAUAAGCCUCUUACCCAAAUUGCUUCUUUCACAGCAUCACAUGCAGCUAUAUAUUUAGCUUCAGUAGAGGACAAGGCAAUCAGUUUUUGUAAUUGUGACUUCCAACUAAUACAACCAUCACACAAAGUGAAAAUGCAUGCAUAUGUGGAUCUUCUUUUAUCUAAGCCACCAGCAAAGUCAAAAUCAGUGUAACCCUUUAAUAUUACACCUUCUUGACACCUUUUAUACACUAAAGUAAGAUCAGUUGAGCCCCUUAAAUACCUCAUCAUCCAUUUCAUGGCUAACCAGUGUGUCUCACCUGGAUUUGGCAUGAAUCUACUAAGUAUACUAAUUCCAUGUGCCAAAUCAGGCCUCGUGCAGACCAUAAGAUACAUUAUUGAUCCCACAACAUUAGCAUAAGGAAUUUUCUCCAUUCUUUGAAAUUCUUCAUUAGUUUUUGGUGAAAAUUCACUUGAAAGUUUGAAAUGAUUUGCAAUGGGUAAAGUAGUAGGUUUGGACUCAAGCAUAGAGAAUUUUUCAAGAAUUUUCUUCUCAUAAGAGUGUUGUUUUAAAAACAAGAUACCAUUAUGCCUAUCUCUUUCUAUUUCCAUUCCAAGUAUCCUUUUAGCUUGCCCUAAGUCUUUCAUUUCAAAUUCAGACUUCAAUUUUGAUUUAAUAGUGUCGAUUCAGAUUUAUCAUGACAGGCAAGUAACAUAUCAUCGACAUAUGUAGUAGAUAAAUGGAUUUAGGCCCUCCAGAGCCUUUAUAAAUAGGCAGGUAUCAUAUUUGCUUUUUACAAAUCCCAAUGUCUGCACAUAAGAAUUGAAUUUAAUGUACCAUUACCUAGGGGCUUGUUUCAGCCCAUAAAGUGAAUUCUUUAACAGGCACACCUUUUCAAUUUUGGAUCUUACUUCAAACCCCAUGGGUUGCUUCAUAUAUAUUAUCUCAUCAAGGUCACCAUUUAGAAAUGUUGUUUUGACAUCAAGUUGUUCCAAAUCCCAAUUAAAAUGGGCAGUUAGAGCAAGUAAUAUUCUGAUUGAAGUAUAUUUUGCCACAGGUGAAAAUAUUUCAUUAUAAUCAAUUCCACCUUUCUGAGUAAAACCCUUGGCAACUAAUCUGGCCUUAUAUCUUUUAUCUUCAGAAUUUAUAUCCCCUUGUUUAAUUUUGAAAAUCCAUUUACAAUCUACUAUCUUAUGAUUUUUAGGUUUAUCAACAAGAAUCUAGGUUCUAUUUUUAAUAAGUGAUUCCAUUUCUUCAUUCAUUGGCUUUUUCCACAAAUCAGAAUCUGGAUGAGUAAUAACUUCAUCAUAAGUAGUAGGUUCAGAGUUUAAAGAAUCAAGGGCAAAAAAUAGAGUAACGAAAUCAUCAUUGUUAAAUCUGGAGGAGGGAAUUAUUAUUCUCCUUUCUCUGUCUCUAGUUAACUGAUAGUUUUCUAGAGUAGGAUCAAUAAUUUCGUUUUCAUUUUCAUGUUCAUCUUGCUCAUUAUUAUCAUCAGAUUGAGUGGACUCCACCUUAAUUCGAUCAUCUUGAUUAUUAGCAUUUUCAGUUUGACUUUGUAAGAUGGUUUCCCUUAUAGAUGCAUUUUCACUGACUUUUUCAUCAGGUGAUUCUUUACAAGGCAUGCCUUCCUCAUUAAAGAUGACAUUUCUAUUAAUGAUCACCUUAAAACCAUUCUGGCUUUUGACCCACAGUCUGUACCCUUUAGUUUCCUUCCCAUAGCCCAGAAAAACACAUUUUAAGGACCUUGGUUCAAGUUUGCCUUUACUUUGAUGUGAGUAAGUAGAGCAGCCAAAAACUUUAAGUUUAUUGUAAUCAGGUGUAUGUCUAGACCACAAUUUUUCAGGGACUUGGAAAUCAAUAGCACUGGAUGGACUCUAUUUAUUAGAAAAGAUGUUGUUUUUAGGGCUUCUCCCCAGAAAAACUUUGGAAGACCAGAACUGUAUAACAUACAUCUCACAUUUUCCAAUAGAUAUCUAUUCAUUCUCUCAGCAACUCCAUUUUGCUGAGGAGUAUGUGUAACAGUUCUGUUUCUUAGAAUACCAAAUUCUUUGCAGAAUGUAUCAAAUUCCUGGUUGCAAAAUUCAAGUCCAUUAUCAGUUCUCAAUGCUUUAAUUUUCUUGUUGGUUUGAUUUUCAAUCAUGAGUUUCCAUUGUUUGAAGGUGUGAAAGGUAUCAAAUUUUUGUUUCAUCAAGAAAGUCCAGAUUUUUCUUGAGAAAUCAUCAACAAUUAGUAAAUAAUAUCUAAAUCCACUUAAGGUGUUUAUUGAUGCUAGGCCCCAGAGGUCAGCAUGUAAAUAUUCCAGAAUUGAAGUGGAUUUAUGGAUUCCAGGUUUGAAAGGUAAUCUUUUCUAUUUUCCUAGUAUACAGUUUUCACAAAAUUCCAGCCCUUCAAUUUUAUCAUUUCCAAAACAACCAAGUCUUUUCAAAAUAGUUGGUCCAUUUUCAGAAAUGUGGCCAAGUCUAUUGUGCCAAAUUAAGGACUUAUUCAUUUAAGAGUUUAGGGCUGCACUGCAGUGACUUGCAAUUGGUUUUGCAAUAAUGGUAUAUAUACCAUUUGUUUUAGGGGAGGACAAUACAAUUUUAUUUCCUUGCUGUAGUUCUAGGAGGCGUUUAUUUAUCAUAAUAGUGUAUUUAUCAUCAAGGUCUCCUAAGGAAAUAAGGUUUCUUCUAAGUUCAAGCACAUACCUAGUGUUCUGUAGUUCAAGUAUAUAGUUAUUCUCUAACUUCAACUUAACCUUCCCAUUUCCCUUUAUUUGACAACUCAUAUCAUUUCCCAUUUGAAUUUGCCUUCCACUAAGUUCAACAAAAUCAGAAAACCACUCUCUUUUGGGACACAUGUGAAAUGUACAUCCUGAAUCCAGGACCCAUUCUUUUGGGUCUCCAUAGGAGGUGUUAACAAGAACAACACCUUGAAUAUUAGGUUCAUUUUUGCAGGCCACAACUGCAGAACCAUCAGGAUUAUUUCUUUCUUUCAUAUCAAAAAUUUUCUUAAAACAAUCUUUUAUUAGAUUUCUAGUCUUUCCACAAUAAUAACACUUUCUGAUAUGAUUUUUUGUCUUCACAUGAUUCUUAUUCUUUUCUUUGGGUUUGGGAUUAGGAGAUUUCUAUUUCUUAUGGAAAUUGGAGCUUUGUAGAUAUUGUUUCUUGAUUUGAUUUACCCUUUCUUUUAUGUACAACCCUUCACCAUACUUAAGAUCUUUUGUUUCAGCCUUUAGUUCAAGUUCUCUAUUUUUUAAGGCUGCAGUUAUCUUAUCUAUGCUAAGUUCUUGACCCCCAUAUUCCAGGGCAUUUCUGAUGUCUUUAUACUUUUCACUUAGUGAGUUUAAAAGAGCAACAACUUGUUGAUCAUCAAAAAUUUCCUCAUCACAGUUAUCUAAGUCCUGAAUCAAUUUAUUAAAUCUGUCAAGGUUUUCUUCUAGAUUAGAUGAGGGAUCAAACCUGAAGUUAUAGAAUUGCCUAAGACGAUAACAUUUAUUUGGCAUGGUUUAGGUUAGAUACAGAGUUUCCAAUUUAAUCCACAAUGCAGCAGUAGAGGUGGUUUCUCCUACUUUUCUAAUAACACUAUCAGAUAAGUGUAAGAAGAUUGUACUCCAUGCAGUAUCAUCUAUCUCUUGUCUCCUAUGGGCACUUAUUUCUGCAACCCAUUGCCAUCAAGGGCUGCAGCACAUCUUUGUUGUAAAAGUAAUGCCCUCAUCUUCUGGCACCAGAGACUGAAGUCUCCAGUGCCAGACCAAGUUUCACGUUCAAAUUUAUGAGUAGUGGACAUAAUGACAGAUUCCUAGCACACAACAACUAUCAUACAGCACUUAGAAUAUUAUGAUUCAGGCAAGUUAUUGUACUUAGUAAAACGAAAAACAGAUAAUAAUGCAGGAUAGUCUAAAGUUUAUGCCUACUUAUUAUACAAUUCAAGCAGUCAAUAAAUGAUGUUUCGAAAAAGGUUUAAGGGCUGGUAAUUCUUGAUUCCACUACUCCCUCAGAUUCCCAGAUCCUAGCAGGAGAUCUUGGACAAAUGAAAGUAAUGGAGAAUUACUUACCUUAAUAACCAAUUUCUAAAACAUAACAAAAGAAUGACAGUUUAUAGAGGGGGUUUCAAGAAAAAAUACCAGAGCCUGAAACUCGACAGUUUCAGAUUAAGGGAAGCACUAAGAAUAUGCAGGAUACGAAUCAAGCUUAGGAAUCCAGGUUCAAGCAAAACCAACGAGUCACCAAGACUCAGUACUGACUCAGCAAGAAAAAUAGAACUCAGCAGAACACUUAGUGAGUCAACACAACUCGUCAAACUCAGCACGAGUCACCAUAACAAGUUAGAACAAGAAUAACCAACAGUUCAUAAAAUAAAAAUAAUAAAAAACCUUCAAGAUUCCAGUAGAGACGGUAAAUAAAAAAAACGAGUUCAACUCCGAAUUAUAGAAUUUUCAAAAGAAGGCAGUUUACUAUUUUCUGAAAAAUAACUUCGAUUAUGUAAAACAACAAUUUUUAAAAAAAAUUUAAUUCGAAGGUUUGAGAUCCGCAAUAUACAAAUGGAGAACAAAAGAAUUUUAGAGACGAAAGGACAGAAAAAAAUUUCCACACAAUAACUCGCUCUGAUACCACUGUUAGGUUCAGAUUGAAAUUAUUUCGUGGUUUUCACAUUUAAAAAUAAUUGCAGAAAUAAUAAAAGAUCAACACAAGAAUUUUACGCCCCAAAAAGGGGCCCGGAUGUUCAGCCUUUAGGCCUAAUCACCCGUUGAACAUCUGUAACACAGAUAGAGCUCAAGAUCCACUAAGAAGAACCAAGAAAUGUUACAAAUGUACGAAGAAAUAGAAUGUUUCUUCGAUAUAUCUCUCUAGCCUCUUUACUAUAGGAAAUCACAAAGAUCAACCUCUACCAUGAAAGCAUUCAACUCUCAUUUACAUAACGUAUGAAAGAAUCACCACUAAGAUGAAGAUCGAAUUUAAGGAGAGAAAUAAUUCAUCAAACCCUAACUGCACUCAGAGAAAGGAAAAAGUCAGAGAGAGAGAGUCAAGAAGCUUCUACACGAAUGAAGAGCCAAAACCAAGUUAAAAUAUCUGGUCAACCAAAAGACAGGAUCCAAGGGUUGAGGAUCAGCCACGUUUACGACUGAUACUCAAUCCUUUGAGGUGUUAAAAGCAUGUUUUACAAAAGUGCGAUUUCUUUGUGACCCGGUCCAUACUCAAUGGGCCAAAAGUUUGUGAGGCAACUCAAAGGAAGUUAGUUUAACAACAACAAUUUCAAUAAUCUCGUAAAUAGAGAUUUCACAUGUUAUGAAAUUACUUGUUUCAUUAUGUGAUCUAACUUGAUCAAACUCUCACAUAUAUAAUGAAUCUGAUUUAUAUUUCAUGUUUCUGUGACUUGUCAGCUACUUACAAUAUGAAUAUCUUAAAAGCAGAUCUAACUGGCUUAUAUCAUAUUAGAAAAAAUCAUAGCCUAAUCAUAUUACAUGUGUCAUAAGGAGCAUGCUCCACCCAGUCAAAGAAAUUACUUUAAAUCUGAUUAUCUCAAUCCCUCCGAACAUCAAGCUCUAUGGAAAGUGCAAACAAUCAACUUCAAUAAUGGUGCCAUAGCCUUCAAAAUACUUUCUUCAGUUAUUAAAAUGCCUCCAAAACAAUACCAUCAAAGGUUUUAAAAUAAAAUUAAGGAAACAAACAGAAAGUGGUGACCUAACAUCUGCACAAGGACUCACAAAAUUAUAGCUAAACUGAUAUUUCUGACUGUAGCAUUUUCUCGAAUGAUUACAACUCAAUCCAAAAUGCACCAGAAAAACCAAAGCAAGAUUCAAGAAAUUCAAAUAAAGUAGCAGCAACAGCAAAUUAUUGACGCAGUUUUCCCCACUGUCAACAUCAACAAGUGGCCGCUCAAAUUCGCUGCAAGUCCGGCGCCACUGGGAAGACUACUGACUGCAAGCUAAUAAUCGAAAUGGAGACUCAAUUUAAGCCCAGUUAUCUUCAAGCAGAAAUACACGAAGUUUGGCCCACAAACGAAUAAGAAGUAGCUCGAAAAGUGAACAUUAUGAAAUUUAUGGAGGGGUGUAAUUGAGAAAAGGGGGAAAUGAAAAUUAUUAAGCUUGGUGAAAUUUUAAGCGGGAUAGAAAAAUUCGAGAGAGAUAUUGUUUGAAAGUGUAUAAUUGUUUUUAUUAUUUAUUAAUAAUAAAAUUAUUAAUAAAUGCAUAUUUAACUAAUUAGUAACUUAAUUUUUUUAUAAUUUUUUUAUGUGAUACUUCAUUAUUAUUGGAAAUUAUUUAAUUUUUUUUAUUAUACAAUAGAAAAUUAUUCAAAACUUUUAUUUAGAAUUAAUAUCAUUAUUUAUAGCAUAACUAAAUUUAUUAGGUUACUCAAUUUAUCAUGUAAAUACUGAUAGUCGCAUUCUUGCAGCGUCAAUUUGAUAGUCUAACAAUAAUUAAUCAAGAGAUGGUGAAUUAGUUUUAAAGGGUAGAGAGGAUGCAUCUAAUGUAAUUGUGGAAGUUCGAUCCAAAUCAAUGAUCUAGUUUUUCACUACCAAGCUCUUAAUCAUGAGUAAUGUCUUUUCUCUAUAUUGAUUAAUUUAUUGUGCAAUUCAAUUCCUUACAUGCUUCUAGUAACUUACAACAUGAGACUAACAUUUUAAUGAAUAGUAAUAAAUUAUAUUUCAAGUGUCAGAUAAAAAAACUUUUAUAAAUAUGAUAAUUAAAAAUUUGAUACAAUCAAUCAAAAUUUUUCAACGAGAAGAUGAAGAUGAAAUAAGUGCACAAGUUCAUUUUUUUUUUUUUUUCAAAAUAUCUCUCUUUUUUAAUGAAUGUAAUGUAAGCUAAAAAGAUUUUGUUCAAAUAUUUACACUUAAAAACUCUUACAAUUAGUUCAAAAAGAUUGUUUAAUCCUUCUUUGAAGUUUGUCUCUUAAGCUCUCAUCUUGAUCUUUUUUUUAUGUUUGACUUUUAAGCUAUUGUCUUGAAGGAUUUUGUCUUGAAUGCUUGGAAUCUUGACUUCAAUCUUGACUUUUAUUGUGAGUCCGAUUUGAUAGUCUUGACACUUCAGUUUUGACGAUGGAUGAUCGAUUUAUCAUUGGAUGCUUGAAGACUAUAAUCACUUAAAUUCAAUUGUUAGUGAACAACAUUACCUUGUUUACUAUAAUCAAAAUUUUAAGGUUAUAAUUAACCAUCCAUCAAUGCAGUUCACAUCUCAAAAAUACAUCUCUUGUAGGUGGUAAUCUCACUAAUGUCAUGCUUGCGACAAAUGGAGUCUAAUGUAAUCAUGUUUACAUUUUACAUUGACUCUGGUAACACAGUAACCAAAUAUGUAAUUGCUUUAAAUUUCAGCGUUACAAUUGAUUGAAUUUAGGUCUUUUCUCAUUCAAUUCCUCCUUUUGUCUAUUUUUUCCACUUCACAAUUUUAUUAUUCCUAAUUACAUUUUCAGGUAAUUUUAAAUUAUUAAGAAAAUCCAAUCUGUUCCAAUUCUCAAAAUUCAGUCUAGUCUAGUUUUAAAAAAUCCAGACCAAAUUACUUGAAGAGUAUUUUUUUAAUUAAUUAUUUUAUUUUUUCAUCGAUUUAUAAAGCAUCCAAUGAAAAUUAUCUAGUUUGUGAUCAUCAAAUAUAUAUAUUUUUUGGUAUUAUAAUAUAUUCAUUCUUCCAAUUCCAUACUUAUAAUAUUUGACAUUUUUAGAUAGCUUCUAGUAGUUUUUCUCAAUUUUUAUUCAAUUAGUGCAAUUAAUACAAAGUAUAUAAUCAAAUUAAGAAACAUAAAAAUAUUUAAGAUUUGUUUGAGAAAAAUAUUAAUUUCUCACGUUUUCUACAAUUUUUGCUUCGUUUGUUCGUAAUUUUAACUCUUUAGAACAUAAAAAUGGAAUUUAUAUUCAUUUCCACAAAAUAAAAUUUUAUUGUGUAUAAUGUUUGUACUCAAGCAUACUUCCUGACCUAGCCAAAUGCUGUCGGAUCUAAAAAUCCAAGUAUAUGCUAUGCUCGACAGAAAUUUUGGGCCAAAAUUUGAUAUUUACCAAUCCAUUUCACUUGGUUGCCAAUUAUGCCUCGAUUAGAACGACUAGUAUCUAUUGUUGUCAGUGAAUGUAUGGGUUCCAACAAAAUAUUUUGGUCCAAAGAACUGUUUUACCGACUCAUUUCAUAUGGUUGGCAAUUGCAUCUCGUCAAAGUCGGCUAAUAAUUUUCUUUACCGCUAAAUAUUAAGGCCUCAAAUCUCCCACCAAAAAAUAGUUUAAAAAAUAAGGCAUUCAUCGACUUUUUAAAAAUUGGUCGGCAAAUAUAUGUCUCAUCUAGGCUGACUACUAUAUUAUCUUGGUCAAUAAAUGUUAAUGUGUCACGUCCUGUCAAAUGUUUGGACAAACUUAUAAAGACAAAAAGUGGUACGUACAAUCUCCACUAUAUUUUAACUAGCAAUUAAGUUAUAAUCUUUCAAUUUUUCUUUAACUUCCAAUUUCCUUAACACUUGAAUCUUCAGCAUAUUCUGUUAGGGUUCUUUUCUCACACAAUUAAUAAAAUUGGCAAAAGAAGACAACCAUAGUGCAAGAAAAUAUAAAAGAACACCACAAAAUUGUUCACCUAGUUCGACAAUCGCCUAAUUUGGGGGGUUCAGAGAUUAGCCCGAUUACUAAGCACAUGAAAACCGUUCAAAAAGAGAGUGCAGAUUUGGAAAACUCAAUUAGACCUAGACUUAGUCAUCGAUCCGCACAUAGAUCUCUUAAAUCUCAAGACCUAACCAAAAACACGAACAAGACUUUCUGGCAAACACUACACACAUAAAAUCAGAGAUCGAAGAAACUAGGAGAAGAAAAUUGAGAGUCCAGAAAAGAGAUACUCGAAAAAUCUAGAGACCAAGAAAAAGAAAAGUAACCUCCAACUGUUCAGCUACCCAACAGUCUCAUAGUGGUGUGUUUUAAUCUCAGCCAUAGAUGGAAUCUAAUGGUCCAGCAUUCACUUGAAGAAGCACAAUCCAAGUGAACACAAAAGAGCCAAUCAGGGCGUCCAUCUAGAUUAGCAACAAUAAAAGGGUUGUAUUUUUUUGAAAAACACAUUUUAUACCCCACAUUUUUCACCUUGGUUCUCACAAAAUCUAACUCUCUUUGAUUGCUUAAGUGUGCUUAAUUUUGGCUAAUCCUACAUUAUUGUCCAUGUACUUGCAAAAGAAUUAACUUGCAUAAAUAUUCAAUAAAGGUAAACAUGCCUUAAACUUACUUACAGAUACCACUUUAGUUCCCAUAUUUGAUGGGUUUUUAUCUGUUUGAAUCUUAAUCAGAUUAAGUUCACCUGCAGAUAAUUUUUCUCUAAUGAAGUGAGACUUCAUCUCAAUAUGUUUGGACCUUUCAUGAUACAUUGGAUUUUUGUAAAGUAAUAACGCACUUUGAUUGUCAGUAAAAAUUGUAGGAGUGUCAUGCAGAAAGUUCAAUUAUUUUAAAAUUCCUUUAACUAGGUACAUUCUUUUAUAGCCUCAAUUAUAGCAAUAUAUUCAGCUUUUGUGCUUGACAAGGUUACUACAAACUCUAACUAAGAUUUCCAUGUAAUGCAAUUAUCAUCUAGUGUAAAAAAAUAUGACGUAGUAGAUUUUCUUCGAUCUUUAUCACCAGCAAAAUCAGCAUUUACGUAUCAUUUUAAAGUCAAAUUAUUUGAUCCUUUUUAUACACUAAUCCCAAAUUUAAUGUCCCAUUAAUGUAUCUAGCAACCACUUUAAUCCUGUCCAAUGUGGUUUCUCUGGGUUGGACAUAAAUCUACUUAAAAAACUAAUUGCAUAAGCAAGAUCGGGUUUGGUGUUAUCAUAGAAAACAUAACGGGUGCUAUGGUAUUGGCAUAUGGGAUGUUUUCCAUUGCCUUAAUUUCCUCGUGUUUUUAGGGAAUGCCUAGUUGAUAGAUUCAUAUGAGCAGCCAAAUGAACAUUUACAGGUUUAGACUCUUUCAUGCCAAAUUAAGUUAGAACUUUAUCUAGAUAAGAUUGUUGAGUGAGUGUUAAUCUAUUCUCAGAUCUAUCAUUCUUAAUAACCAUUCCUAAAAUCCUUUUGGCAUUACCUAAAUCCUUUAUAUCAAAUUCUGAUUUUAAAAGAUUUUUGAGUCUUAAGAGUUCAGUCUUGCUUGCAUUAGUUAGAAACAUAUCAUCAACAUAUAACAAUAAGUAAACUUAACAUCCACUCUUAGCAUUGUUCUAAUACAGGCAAUCAUCACACUCACAUCUUUUAAAACCAACUUUGAUAGCUUAUGAAUCAAACCUUUUAUACCAUUGCUUGUGACUAUGUUUAAGUCCAUACAACGAUUUUUGCAAUGCACACACAUAGUUAGUUUUACCCUCCAACUCUAUGCUUGUUCAAAAUAAUUCAACCUACUGCUUCAAAACGUUCUAUCACAAUCCGCUCAAAAUGAUAAUUUUAAUCCCUACCAACUAAAUUGUAGUUUGUAAAUUGUAAAUAGUAGAUUCAAGUAACGCAUAAAUGAUAAACACCGCUAAUAUUAAAUAGUAUUACUACAUAAAUGUAGAUUGAAAAUAAUGGGGAUGAACCGAGAAUUGGCAAAGGCUCUAUCAGCUUGAAAGUUUCGUUGCUUUCCCUGGACAAACUCAUUAUGUCGACAAUGCAAUUGAUAAAACGGUUUGUGUAUGUGAGAACUUGAAAGUCUCUCAAUGCUCAUGAAGCGCUUUAUGUGUAACUAACAAUGACAACAUGCUAUUUAUAAUCAACUUGAAAGGAGAAAGCAAUUAUGGUCAUUUACUACCCAACCACAAAGUCCAAUCUCAUCUAAAUUUAGUUGGUAUGAUGGUUCAAUAAAAUAAUUGUACCUUUAUCCCCCAUUUUCACAUAAUUACUAAUAUAUUGUGACUCUUAAAUCAUGUGAACAAUGGAGUCAAGUUUCCUGCAACUCACAUUAUGCACUUUGUAAAGUAGUUGUAACUUGGUUGUCAUGGUUUUGGCAUAAUUAUAAAAAUGACUCAUCAUCUUAAUCUAAUAAGAAAAUAAACUCACAUUAACGUCUUUGUAAAUUACUUGUAGCAUGAUUUCUUGAAAUGGAAAAAUUUUAGUGGCUAGUCAUCUUAACCCAAUCAUCAUUGACGAACGAAUCUGUAAUUGGUCUAGAAAGAAGAAAAUAUGGUCCAAGUAAACUAAGAACUCUUACACAACGUGCUCGUGCCUUCAUUACAAAACAAACUAUAGUGUACAUAACCAUUUAUUAUUUGCAAAAUUCAUGCAUUCACUAUGCACUAACCCCACACUGCUGAUCUUCAGUUAUCACAUUACAACAUUCAAACUAAGAAACAAUAGACCAACUUCUAGCACAUUAGACCAACUUCCGCAACCCGGCAUUUUCCGGAACGAGGAAUUCAAACUCCAUUUCUCCUACAAGGUACAGUGAGAAAAACACGGAUUCGAUCAUGAUAAAACAUAGCAAUGUAACAUGUAAUGAAUCGAACUCAUGCCUGUAGUGAGGUAAACUGUUGAGAAAACUGACAUCAAUCGUCGGUAUGGAUAGUUCAUCUGUCGAUACCAACAGUUAAUCUUGAAAUAUGCCUGAGAUUCUGUCAUCUGUCGAGAUUGGUAGAGUUAAUCGGUCAGGAACGACAGUUCAAGCAGCCUGCACACUUCAGCAAUCUGCUGAAAUGUACACAUGAGACAUAGAAGUUUGACAUCUACUAUACCAUUUCUAAGCAAUGCAAAGACAUUUUGUAGAACGAAAAUGGAAUUACCCACACUUGGACAUAUUGCACUAUCAUAUGAAUGCACACGUGCAUGAAGCAAUAGUAAAAACAUUUGUUAGAAAAUAUGUUGCUCAAGAAGUAGAAGCCGAAAAAAUGGAGCUAUAAAUACACAGUGAGCAAAAAUCAUGACAAUGACUAAUUAUUCACCUUCAUUACAUGUUAUAUUUUGCAUAUAGUAAUUACAUUUCUUACAAACCAAAAUUGUCUACGGGCUAGAAAGAUCAAAUUGCAACCCAUAACUCAUUUUACAGUAAGAUUGUUGGCUACUAGAUUGAGAUCCUAGAGAAUCUUUUUAAGCUAUAUUAUUGGCCAGAAGAUUGAGAUUCCAGUGAAUAUUUUUAGCUAUAUAUAUUUACCAUAUUUUCAUUUUGCCACAUUAGUUUUGCCGUUUGAAAUUAGAGAAAACAAAUAUAAGCAACCCUGUCUUUCAAACACUACAAUUGACUAAAGAUUGAUUCAAAUUCAGCAAAAGGAGCUAAUAAAAAAUCCACAAAAUUAACAUUCCAGAAUUCCCCAACUAAUUUCCUAAAGCUUACCAAACAUUGAACGGUCUUGGUGGAUAAAAUAAGGUUGUCAUGAUCUUGAAAAAAACACUGAGAAGCACCAGCAUCGCCAUGCCGCUGACCACUGCCAGAAGCGACUUUUGUAGAUUUCUUCUCCUUCUUCUUACAGAUAGGAAUUUCUGAGUUAGGGCUUUGAAUCCUUUGAUCGUCCAAAGAGAUGUAUUUAAAUGAUGAGAGGGAGACCAAAAAGCAAUAAUGUGAAUGAUAUAUUUAUAUAUAUAUAUAUAUAUAUAUAAAAUAUCGAAUGGAUCCCAAAUUGACGGGUUAGUGUGAGCUUAUCCAUGCGGUUAUGCUCUAGUCAAAUAAGUUUUUAAUGAAUGAUAUAUAGGGUAUUUGAAUUAUCUAGAGGGGCAAAAAUAUUCAAAAUUGUUCAAAAUUAACAAUCUUGCAAAGACCUAAAAAAUGUGACAUUUUUGUAAACGCAAAGCAAAAAAUUGACAAUUUUGGUAAUUUCCACUUUUUUUAGUCAAAACUAAACCAAAUCGGUCAAUUUUAGAUCGUUCUGAUUGAAUUCUGGCACUGUUUGAGCUGUAUUCUUUCAAAAAAAAUAAAUUCUCAAAAAGUGAUUUGACAUCAUUUUGAUAACACAUUUUUCAAUAAAAUAAUAUUACACGCAAAUACCUAUAGGUAUGAUUUGAAUAAUACCUAUACGUGCUAAUGCCUUGAAAUAGAUUAUAUAUUUUAGCAUUGUCUUCUUUAAGUUCAGCAGAUCCAGUAGGCGCAGAGGGUACUCGACUAAUAUUUGUAUCCAUUCGUUCACCAUAUAAUUCAUACAUUUCCCUUAAAAUUUGUUCUAAAUUUCUAUAUAUGAUAAGUGUACCAAUAGUAAAAACUUUAAAAUUUUUAUCAAUUAUAUAUUUAGUUCCCAAUAAAUUAUAUCGGAGGUCCAUUAUCCAUGUUAAAGGAAAUAACAUAGGUAAGUCUUCCCAAUAUUUUCUAAACUUCAAUUCCAUGGAGUAUAUAAUUGCACUAAAACUAGGAUCAUUUUUAUAUUUAUGAAAGGUCUUUGCAAUUAUAUAAAGACGUUCUACCACCGUACAGCUAAUGGGAAAAUUUUUGUACAUUCAUAAAAAUUUGUCAAAAAUCUUUUAACUUUUAAAGCUAAAAGCUAAUCGGAUUCGUUCAGAAUAGUGUCGUCAUCAUUUCUAAUAUAUCUAUUGUUGUAAAAUUUAGUUAUUACAUGUUCAAAAUCUUCACAUGACUUUAACAAUAAAUAAGUGGAGUUCCAUCUAUGAUCUACAUCACUACCAAAUGUUUUUAGAAUUCGGCUCUUCAAAUUGGACACAAAAUUUCUUAAAUACUUGUUUUCUACUAGGGGAGAUCAUGAUAUAUAAUGUGCAUUCUUAAUUCUUCAUUUUUCAUCUUUAAUGUGUUUCAAACCAUCUUGCACAAUUAAAUUUCAAAUAUGAUAUACACAAUGAAUAGGAAACAAAUAACCAUCGAAGCCAUGCUGUAAUACCCUACACAAUUUAUCGAUAACUACUUUAUUAACACUAUCGUUGUCGAAUGUAAAAGAACGAAUUUUACUUUCGCAAUGAUAUUCUUUAAUAAUAGUCAUAAUCGCAUUAUAUAUAUUAUUAGCGUUAUGUGGGAAUCCAAUAAUUUUAAAAGCAACAAUUUUUUAUGCAUACACCAAAGUGGGUCGAUGUAGUAUGCAGUUGUAGUUAUAUAAGCUAUUUUAUUAAUCACCUCCCAUAAAUUUGAAGUUAAAGAUAUAACACCACCAUAUUUUUGCAAAUCCAAAAUUAAUUGUUGGUUUGUUUGAAGAAAAUACUCUAUUGUGUCUGAACAAGGAAUGUUUCGAUUUACUCCAACAUACCUCAGUUGUAUCUUCUUUCACACAUAAGACGAAAUGUUGGUUGUCCGCUAUUGCAAGAGGUAACUUAGCACCGGCAAUAAGUUUCACCAUUCCUAUUCAAACAUUCCUCUUUGAAUACAUCCAUGUGGUGAGGGUCAAAGUUGUAGUACCGGCAUCUGGACUACCAAAUUGCAGUUGUGUUUGACCGGCUUGAAGAAGUCCAUGUUUGACCACACACGCUUUGUAGUGACAGUUGAGGUGAACGGUACUAAUGUCUUUUUGCCAUGCUAAUUGUUGACAGUAUUUACACACUGCUUUGGACUCUGGGACUCCAUCGACACACAACCAGUCGAAAUCAAUUUAAAGUGAUCGUAACAUUUUGCCUUUUUUCCCCUUUCACUUCCCUCUAGCAUCGGAAAUAUUUAAUUCGGGUUCCUUCUCCUCUUGGGCUUCGGGAACAUUAAUGUCAUCCAAAUCAAUUAGAUUAUUGCUGGGGUCCGGCCCCAAAUUCAAAUGUGGAAUAUCUUCAAGAAUUGGUACUUUGUUUAGACCAGGAAAUUGAUUUUGAUAUUGACUUUGUGGCAUCGUAGGUGAUUCGCCUCUGGCACCAAACAAACCCUCGACAAAUGAGACUGGAUCUAUUUCAAUUUGUGAAUUGUGAAGAUACAAUAUAGAUUAAUAGAUGAUAUAGGAAAAUGAUUGAAUUGUGAAAAUGAAUUGAAAUCGAAGAUGAUUAAAUUGUAAAAAAUGAAUCUAUAUAAUAUGACUAUAUUGUAUAAUUGUAGACUAAUUGAGAGUUGAAACAAAUCAAUUGAGACUUGAAAGCACAAAAGAGAUUGAGAGAAAGAGUAUUGAGAAUAUUGAGAUAAUGAAACUUGAGAAUUGAGAGAGUUGAUGAAAAAUGUUGGGCCAAUUGUGCCUAUUUAUAAAAAAGGGGGAAAGAGAAGGAGAGGGAAAAAAAAAGUUUUGGACCAUGGAAGGUUACCAAUUAUAGAACAAUUGCUCACCCCAUUUGUUUCACUAUCUCCCCAAAGAAGCAAAGUUUUGGACCUUGGAAGGUUACCAAUUAUAGGACAAUUUAUAUGCUUUUCUACGAAAUAUAUUAACUUUAACCUAUAUUUGAGUCAUGCUCAGUGGCAGAUCUAGGUGGUGGCCGCCCUAGCUGGAUUCGUCAAAACCACUGGAGAAAUUUUUUUUUAUACGUUAUAUCACUUGUGACUCAUUUCAUUUUCAAAAUUCUCUUGCAGCUCACCUGGUUAGAGCUUGCAUGUAUAUAUUUGAAAACUCGAGUUCGAAUCAUUUACCAAUGAAUUUGUUGUGUUUUAUUUUUAUUCUACAAUUUUUAUCAAAAUUCAAUAGGGAGGGGGACAAAGGAAAUUCAAACCCGUGACCGCUUGCAAGGGUUGCUGUAAAUUUAAUCUUUAUGGUACUUCUUGAGUUGUGUCACUAAAUUUAACAAAAUAUUAUUUGUUAAGUUUUAAUUGUUUUAAUGCAAAAAUAAUUGCAAAGAUUCGAAUCCACGCUCUUCCUUUGAAUUAUACAGAACUUGACAACAAUACCAUUUGAUGAAUCCUAUUUAUUCUUAUAACAUAAUUAUAUAUGUUCAAUUUGAGCAAAAUAAUUGUUUUGUUUAAAUUUUAGGCCUUGUUCGACUCCUUUUUUUUUUUUUUUUUUUUUUUAAAAUACAUUUUUUUUUUUUUUUUCAUUCACACGUUCUUCAAUAAAAUAAUAUUAUAUGCAAAUUCAAAACUUUUCUUUAUUUUAACCAAGCAUUCUCCAUCAAAUAACUAUUCCAAAAUGCAUUUUUUUUUUUUUGCAAAAAAUGGAUAUUAAACGGACUCUUAACAUUUUAUUGCGAUUGACGAUAAAUGGUGAACGGCCACCCGUCUUGACUCAAACUCUUGGAUUCGCUUUUAGUCAUGUUUAUAAACACAAGCAACUUUUUAUUCACACGUUUCAAAUAAUUGAUUAGUAUUACUCAAUUAUCGAUAACUUAUUUUUAUCAAAUGCUUGUGAUAUUUGUACAAAGUUAAAGCCAGCAGAUAACUCUAAAAGUACAAGGGUGUAGGAAAAAGACUUUUCAUUUAGCCGUAACAGAUGUCUCUUAAUGUUAAAUUGCAGGGAAGAUUAGGAAGCCCUCUUGGGAGGAGCCAUAUUGCGCGUAAGAGAGGAGGUCACACCGAUUGUAACUAUCUGCACAAUUACUUCUGCAAAGUAGAUGGUGCAAUUCAAAAUAAUUUAAAAACAACCAUGUCGAACAUAAGGAUUAUAGCCAAGUUAAAUGAACAUACCAAAAAGAACAGCAGCAACCUUGAACAUCUUAGCCAUCGAUGUCUCCCACUUGCUGAAAUCUUCGAUGAGCUGUUCCAUAUAAGCAAGGUAAUGUAAUAAUGAAUAAUGAUAUUAAUAUUACAUUACCAUAUGUGCAUGUUACUGAAAUAAACCUCUUUAAGCUUUAAUGCUCCUAUUCUUUUCAAUUCUGCGAAGAACAAUUUUCAGUUUGAGAACAGAAUAUUCACUCACAAACUUGGAGAAUGGUGUUUCUCAUUGGUAUAAUAAUUAACAUUAUUUCCCUCUUUGUAACUUGCAUUAUGAUCGAUAAAUGCAUGUACUAGAACUACAGCGUAUUACCACAUCAAUAUCAAAACAAUAUACGAUUGAAGAAAACUCUGGACUAUUUUUACCUCAAAUAAUUUUUCACUCUUGACGAGAAAGGCUACUGAGAUUACAGCAGCAAUUACAAACCAAACAAAUACAGCUUCAGAAAGAUGCUGUGGCUUCACUUUCGACCUUCAAUAUGACAAUACCCAAAAAAAAAAAAAAAAUUAUAUAUGAAAAUAAGGGUGUUAGUGUGUACCUAUUUCUCCUAUAAAGAGAGAAAUAAAGCAAAUAACGCUAGAAGAAGAGUUUCCAAAAUAAAGUUGUUGCUUCCAGAAUUCGAACUAAAGUUUGCAACAUAGGUCAAAGCAAAAAACAUUAAAAAUAGUAGCAAGGAAGUUAUUUUGCUCCUGUUCGAGUUCCCUGCCUUUUAAUAAUAGGUUCUUAAAAAAAUUCACUUUUUACAAAUCCUACUUUCAAGAUAUGGUGCUCAAGCAGGGGCUUGGCAUUUUAUUCUAUAGUUUAGUGAGCCCUAAUAAGGGUUAGUCAACACUGCUCAUCGGGGAAGAAAGAAAAAAAAAGUGUUUGCCAAAUUUUACAAAUUAUUAGGACACCGUAACUUGAUAAUAAAAUGGAGCAUGGCUGCAUAUAUCCAUACAAUAGUGCUACAACAAUUGAUAGCUGACUGACGAUGAUGUUAACCAACAGCUAAAUUCGUGUGUCAAUUUGUGAACUAUCCUUUAUGAUUUUUUUUUGGUCAUUAUUUAAUUCACAAAAUUAGCUAAAAACAAAAAGGAAUAUAAUAUCAUGUCUCUGCUAUUUUUACUCCUUACUUAGGGGCCAUCUGAGCCCCAUUAUUUGUAGAUUAUAAUGAGAUGAAUAGUAUUUUUUUGAAAAAUGAGUGGUUGAAAAGUUUUUUAUUUACGUGUAAUAUUAUUUUAUUGAAGAUUGCGUGGUUAAAAGUAGGAGAGAGAAAAUUUUAAUUUAAUGUAAUGAGAAAUAAUGGAGCUCGAAUGGGGGCUUAGCAUUUCCCAUGUAGUUUUUUCUUCAAUUCUCUCUUCCUAUGGUUUUAGAUCAUAAUUAAUUAUAAACCAAUAUAUAUCAAAUAGCUCAUUUUUGCUGAGAAAAUUGCAAUUAAUUGAGUAUGGAUGGAAGUACUUGUCAAAAUAGACAAAGUAAAUAACAAUUUGACACUAAUGAUAGGCAAAUAUUAAUACAUGUGGUGAAAUUCAAUUUAUUUAUUUAUUUUCAAAAUAACACAUUAAAUUUUAAGGUGAAGUUGGUUCACUGAUUAAAUUGAAAAAGCAAUUAAAAACAAUAAACUUCAACAUUCAUCCAAUGGAUUUCAGUCUGUAUCUCAGUUCUUGGUCCAGACAAUUUGAAUGCACAGAUGACUAUACUUCAUAAUCAAGAAAAUCCAAGUACACUAAAAAUUUCAACAUCCAGCAAAUUCAAUUUACAGUAGAAAUUCAAAACUUGAAAUUAGUUAACUAUUCACUAAAAACUAAUAAGCCUUAAUCAAAUUAUCUAAUAAAAUUAUAAAAACAUUCAAGAGUCUAGCCUGAAACUGAAAGGAAAGAGGUGUCAAAACUGUAAAAUAAAUUUAAAAAAAAAAAAAAAAGGGGAGAAAUGCGUAUAUUUAUUAGAAGAAAAAAAAAAUCAUCCAACAAAAUUGAUGAAUAGAUAAAACUCUGGAUAUAUACGUGAUUGAAUAAAUCAUAACGUGGAAAAACACUGACUUAAGGAAUCGUACAGCAAAAUUGAUAAAUAGAUAAAACUCUAAAUAUAUACCUGAUUGAAUUAAAUAUAAUGUGGAAAAACACAGAUUCUUGGACGGAUUUGGAUAGAAAUAUAAAUAUUAAUAUUUAUACAUGUAUUAGGUAUAAAAUUGGGGGUGGAUCUGGAUAUGGGAGUAAUUUGUUGGUAAUAUAAGGGAAAAAUUCCAACUUUUUAAAGGUCGAAAAAAGAGGUAAAUUUCACCAAGGACCGAAGUCCUAACCUACCAUUUGUUGCAGUCAAGUCCUUGAUCUUUUAAAUUGUUGACCCAUGUCCUCUCUUAACAGAAUAUGUUUACUUGAACUCUAAAUGGCCAGGUGACAAGAAGACACUCAUUUGAUGUCAGUGAAUUCAACUUUCAAUUAUUAGAAAUUUAAAUAGGGCACAACUUUCAAUGUUCAUGAAACCUACGUGCAUGUUUGGUUAUGCUUUUUUCACUCAAAAAACCAAUUUUUUGAUUUUUACUUCCUUAAGUUAGUCAUCGUGUUUGACUUCUUCUCUCACGGGUGAAAUUCAAUUUUCUCUCUAACGAUCAAAAAAUCAAUUCUUAUAAUCACUACUGAACAAGCGCUAUACCGUUGCUUCAAUUCAUCUCCGAGAUGAAGAGAGUGUCCAGAGAUCAUAUAAUUUUCAAAUAAACAUUUUAUAUUAGCCAAUGACACGAAAGCCAUAAUUUUAAAUGCAAAAGGGAAAGAAUUCCCUUAUAAAACUAGUAUUUCUGAUCAUAAAUCAAACAACUUCCACAUUUCCUUGAUGAAUAAUGAAAUGUAUCCUGUAUUCAAUUUGGGUAAGAAUAUUGUUGAAUGCAUUUUGGAGGAGGAGCAGACACAAGCCAUACAUUUUACAUGCCAACCCCGUAUGGAAACAAUCAGGAUUUGAUCACCCCUAGAGUUGCAGCUUCAAGUGAAACAGCAUGCCUAGCAUGUUCACCCAUAGGAAUCCUUUGAAUUCCAGCCAUAUCGACAACACUAAGGUACUUACACACAUGAAUCUUGACAGAAACUUGUUGUUGUCCCCUCGCGGGCACGUACACGUUCACAAAUGGAACCGUUUGUUUGUGUGGUGCCCAGUGUCCUCCAGGAGGCGAUGAAUAUACAAGUAACGUGUGUGUGCCAUCUCGAGAUCCCAUAUUUCUCACAUCAACAUAAAAACUAAUGGAGAGCCUAUUAUAUUUUGCAUGUGUAACUUGAAUGGCCUAUCUAGUAAUGGUGGUGUUGGUAUGGUGGCGCCCGUGAAUAGUGACUAAAACAACCGUUGGAACAUCUGCAGUUGUGUGAACAAAGUUUGUGUAGCUCAAUUCGUUCCCAAAUGGAUACACCACAUGUCCUUUGUAGAACCAGUAAGUCCUCACCGGAUAGCCCUUGAAGGAUCUGAUUGCAUAUCCAUUGCAGUCAUUGGCAAGUUGUUUAGGUAUUCCUGUGGGUACCAUGUAAUUGGUAACUUUCCACCCGGAUUAUGCGUUCCGAAUAGGAUAUCAGCUAUUGGCAUAUCCAUUGCAGUCAUUGGCAAGUUGUUUAGGUAUUCCUGUGGUUACCAUGUAAUUGGUAACUUUCCACCCGGAUUAUGCGUUCCGAAUAGUGAAAGUGUGUUUCUCAAAACAUCUCCAAAUUAAUGCCAUUCUUGACAAUUGACUUGGCUGCAAUCUAAUUGGUUGGUCAAAUGUGCCAAAGAUUGUGUUUCUUGUGGAUGGUGGAGAUUUAUCUUGGUGGAUCAAUGGCUGGGAUUUAACUUGGAAAUUAAUAUGACUUUUGGAGAGAGAAAAAGGACGGCAGACUUUUUCAUUUUCUUUGGUUGAGUUACAGAAUUUUUCCCUUUCCUCUCUCUGGCGAUUUUCUUCUCCUCUUUCUGGUUUUACUUUGAUAUACACUUCUCAGUUAAAUCCUGGUUUUAGAUUAGCCCUUGUAAUAUCAUGAUGCUACAGUAACUCGAGGCGUGAUUCUGAGCCUCUGCUAUUUUCGAUUUUGUUUACUGUUGGCUAGGGUUAAGUGUUGUGAAAAGGAUUUAUGUUUGGUUUCGUAGAUCUGUUGAUCGAUGAUCGAAACUUGUGUAUUCUAAGUGGUUGAUGUAAAUUUGGUUCUCUUGGACGGCGAUUUGCAUAGUGGAACGGGUUCAGUUCCUGAGCCCCCCAGAUUAGGCCCCGUUUGGCCGAACUGGGUCACCAACUCUGAUGUUCUAUCUGUUUUUCGAUAUUAUUUUGAGCACUUAAUUUUACAGUGUUAGAUUAUAGGUUUACUAAUCAUCAGCUUGUAUCCCAACAAAUAGGAUAUCAGUUAUUGGCAUAUCCAUUGCAGUCAUUGGCAAGUUGUUUAGGUAUUCCUGUGGUUACCAUUUAAUUGGUAACUUUCCACUCGGAUUAUGCGUUCUAUUGGGGCUCCUCCUGCUUGGCCGGGAUAGCCAGCCCAAACAAUUGCACUAAUUUUUGGAUCGUUUUUGGUAAAUGAUACAUUAAUAGGACCUCCACUCAUUAAUACCAAGAUCGUCGGACCUCUUGACACCAUGGCAACCUUAUUAACAAGCUCUUGUUGACGUCCCGAUAGGUGGAGGCCAGCUCUAUCUCUGAAUUCAGCUUCAAUUGACUGGUCUAGUCCCAUAACUAGAACAGUCGCAUCUACUUGAUGUGCUGUAUCAACCGCUCCUCCAAAGAGUGCCUCAUUAGCACAAGCCACAUUGGCACGACCCUGCUGAUGAAUAGUCCUAGUAUACCUUCCUAUUCCUUGUAAUGGAGUUGUAUAUACACAAGCAACACCUACAUAAUAACCAAGAACUAUGAGUACAAUUCCUUUGUUAUAUUUUUCAAAAUAUAUUUUACGAAGGUUAAUCAUGUCAUAUAAACGCAAAAUGGAUGUAGCGCUUACCAGCAUAAUUGCCAAUCAUUGUGACAAUAACAUCCGAGUUAGGCCCGAUAACUGCAACAAUAUGUUGUCGUCGAGGAGAUAGAGGUAGUGAAGGGCCGUGAUUUAUUAUAAGAACAAUACCCAGUCUAGCGGCUUCAAGUGCAAGCUCCAGGCGAGCCGGGGUGCUUACGUCUUUUGCACCCAAGUUACCAUAUGGCUGCGUCGAUGGCUCUCCAUCAAACAUCCCCAGCCUCAUUUGAACAGCAACUGUAUUGGCUAAGGCAAGCAUUAUAUCAUCCUCCUUUAGUAACCCCUUUUGUAUUGCAUUCUCUGUGUAUUGCAAGGAAUGACCCACAAUCCAAAUCCAAACCUGUAUAAUAUAAAAUCCAAAGUUUCUAACAAAGCUUAUUUUUCUAGAAAAGCAACUUAAAAAGUAUGGUCACAAGUGUACCUGCUUUGAUUGCAUCUAUUGCUGCUUCUUCUAGCGUUGAUGUAUAAUGUUGAUUAUUGUAGAACACACCAACUGAAUCACAGUCUGAGAUGAUGUAACCGUUAAGGCACCAAGCACCUUGUACAGUUUCUCGAAGAAGUUUCAGAUCUGCGCAGGUGGGUAUGCGUUUGACUUGACUGUAAGAGCACAUUACACUGGCAACCUUAUCUUCCAUAACACAACUUUUGAAUGGAAUGUCAAAUGUAACUAUAAAGGAUUCAAAAGCCAUGUACUCGAGUAACUUAACAAUCAAUUAUUCAUACUACUUAAAAAUAUGGAAAAAUACAACAAUAUACAUAUCAAUUUAUUUGUAUAAGCAUGAGAAAAAAAUAAAAUCAGUAGCCUAAUUUUAGCUCUGUAGCUCGUACCACAUAUUCAACAUCAACUUUUUCAUAAUAAAUUCACACUUCAAUGGAAACUAAAUUUCUCAGAUAAGCGAAAAAUGGAAUUUGACAUGACUAUUAUGGUUCAAUUUAAUUUAUAAUUUAAAUCAAGUAAUGCACUGAACAUGAAGUACACCUUGGCAAAGUAAUCCUUCCAUACCCUGCGGGAGAUCUGAUGACCCCCGAAAUCAAAUGCCGAAAACUUAAUUAUCGCAAUACGCAGUUCUUCUGAUGUCGGAUAUUGUGUUGGUUGAUGUUGAACUAAUCUCCACAACAACCCAAGAAUCGAAUUCAAUCAACGCGCCAAGGAGGUACAUACCUAAAUUAAUAAAUAAAUACAUAAAUUCUUGUAUUUCAAUUAUUUCCCGAAUAUAUAAAAGAAAAUAGUUAACUCGGCCUUUAGCAUGUGAAGAAGCAUGAUUUUACUGGCAUUCUCAAGACCAAGGAAGAAGAUCUUGGCCUUUUUUUGUCGCUGUAACGCCCCGACCAACAUGGACGGAAAUGUCACUCAAACCAUUGUACCUUAGCAUUAGACUUAGAAAUUAUUUAAAAUAAUAAUUUAAUUAAUUACUCCUUUAACGGAAAGGUAAACAUUUAGUUUUAAAAAAAAAUUCCUUAAGAACCAUAUUUUUCCUAACAUUCAGUUUACUAUAAAAUUAUAAAAUAAACUCGUUGCAAAGUUAUCAAUUUCAAAAUUUUAUAAAAUUUUAAUGGAAAGUAGGGAAAAUCUUAUAAUAUAACAUAUCCAAAAUUUGGCUUCCGUCGGUGAAAUAUAAGGCGUUAAAAUAUUUCCCAAAAUCCCGCUAACACUAACUAAACAAAGCUAUUUUCUUUUUCUAUCUCGUAGGGUAAGUGUCAAUAAAUUCGUUUGUAUAGUUAUCGACCUCAAAACUUCAUCAAAUUUUAAUGUGAAGUAGUAAACUCCUUAAUAUGACAUAGUAAAAAAUUAGCUUCCAUCGGCAUCAUAUGAGGUAUUAAAAUAUUUCUCAAAACCCAGCAGCGACCCACCCAGUUGAAAGGUAAAACCGGUGCAGUUCACUUAAAAUGACAUGUACAAUUCCAUGGACAUCAAAACCACAUGAUUUCAAAAUUUUUCAGUAGCUAAUCCAUGAGUCUAUCAAAUCCAAUUGGUUUCAUUCGAAAAUUCCACAGUCAAGUUAGGAAAUUUUGAAGUCAAGGCAGAAGCUGGGAAUACGACGACUCUACCCAGUGUAGUUUACUUUAUGCAACAUAUAAAAUUCUACCGACAUUGGAUUGACAUGAUUCCAAGUUCAUUCAAUAGCUAACUUAUGAAACCAUUAAGAGUAGGUAACCUAUUCCGUGUCUUUAUUUUUAUGUCAUCGUAUCACAUUCUGUUCUCCGAGAUUUGAAAAUCACCAUCAAUACCCGGUGUAGGUCCGGGAUAAUCCUUUGUUCCAUAGCCCUGGGGCUAUUUACAACUAGCCAAUUAAGAAUUCUCAGAUGUACUAUCCAACGCCACUGGUUUUGUAUAAAAAUACCAAGUAAUGAAGGAAUUAUAAAUUUUUAAAAACGAGGCAGAAUCUGAAUUUUUAUUUAAAAGACAGCAAAACUUUAAAUCAUUAAUAUAUAUAUAUAUAUAUAUAUAUAUAUAUAUAUAUAUAUAUAUAAACUUAAUUUAUCUAAAUUAUUUAUUAUAUUUUCAAUUUCUUGAUUUGGUUUAUUUUCUAUAUUGUUUAAUUUUUUAUUUAUAUUUUCUAUUGCUUCUGUAGUCUUAAGAUCUGGAAAUUUUUCUUUAUCUUCUACUCUAGAGAUUUUAUUUAAAAUUUUCAAGGAUUUUAAGGCUGUUAUAAGAGGUUGUUAAGAUAAAUUAUAAAAAUCCUACUCAGUACUCUUCUUAAUUUAAAUGUCUUUUUCUUUUAAUAAAAUAAUAUCCCAUUUUUUUUUUUAAAUCAUGCCAUCUGAGAUAUAUGAAUUUGGGCCUAACUCCAUUCUUGUAAGGACACCACUGACACUUCCUUAACAAGAAUUCUUAAAACAGUGAUCCCUUUCCCUCUUCUAUGCGUCUCCUAGCCUCUUCACUGGGCCUUUACGCUUUGAGAGGUCACUCAGGGCUUAUUUUAAAAACAGUUUGAACUUUUAACUUGGAGUUAAAACAUGCUAUUAUCAUAUACUCAGCAUGAAACAUAAAACUCUUUACAAAAAUCAUAAAACUUUUAUAAAAUAAAAAUUUAUGAACAAAAAUUGUUCUUAAAAGAUCUGGAACUAAUAUUAAUUAAUCUUAGAACUAUAAAGCAUACCUACCGGAAUGAUCCAUCGGUAGUUUAAAACAACAUAUUUUUGUGGGAUAUUAUUCUAUCUAAGAAUAAGAACAAUUAAGAAUUUCCCUUUCGGGAGAGAAAGAAAAUUAGAACAUAUUUGAGAGAAUUCAAAACUUGUAUUGUAUAUAUUUUCUUGUGUGUUUACAAAUGAAAGAAUGGUCUCCUUUUAUAGGAGAGAAAAGAGAGAGGAAGCGUUUUUCAAAAGCAAGGAAUCUUUGCUUUUUUCAAAACGUCAAAAAGAAAACAGUAAAAAGCUAUACUAUCAAAUCUUACUUUAUCAAACAGUAAGAUUCUUUACAAAUUUUUCAAAAAGAAAACAGUAAAGAUUCUUCUUUUUAUACAAUAAUUCUUGAUCUUUUCUUGAGAUCUGGACAAAAAUCUUCAAGUGGCUGAGUCUAGUCUGAAAAUCACCGUAACUUUUUGCCAAAUGUCUUCUUUAGGCUAAAAUCUGAAUGAAUCCUUAUCUUGUUUCAUAAUUAUAUCUGCCAAUGCUGUCUAAAGAGUCUCCUCCAUCAGUACAACCUUCUGGAUUAUCAUCCUCUUCUGAAUUAUUGUCUUCCAAGUCUUUUUCUUUUUCUUGUUCAAUUUUCUUUUUGCCUUUUUUCUUUUUAAUCUGUAUUUUCUUUUUCUUUGUAAUACUUUGUUUAACUUGUUGCUGUAUUUCUUCAAUAUUAUCAAACAUUUCUUUGAUUCUUCUAAUAUCUGAUUGAGAAAUCUGUUCUGGAUCUUGAGCUGAUUGAAAUGAUUCCGGAAAAUUGAUUGGGCUUUUCUGUUUAAGGUCUAUUGGACUUAUAAGUCUAGUAGCAGAAUUUCCAGUCUGCUGUGUCUGGUCUUCAGAAAUAUUUUUAUUUUUUGUAACAGGAUUUUCGGCCUGUUGAGUAAGAGAAUCAACAGUCUCCUGAGUCUGUUGAGCUUUUGGUAAGCCCAGAACCAUAAACGGAUUUGAUAAGUCUUUACCAGCUUCCGUUUGAGCUGGACUAGCUAUAGACUUCUUUGGUUCUAUAGUACCUGAUUGUAUCUGAACAAUUGGAUUUGAAAUCUUUAAAUUAAUAAUUUCUUGUUCUAAUUCAGAAAUUUUCUUUUGUAAAACUAAUUUUUCUUGUUGUAAAGACUGAUUGGACUCAUUUAAAAUUUUAAAAUUCUUAGUCGUAUAUUCACAAUGUUCACAAAAUUUAGAAGCAUAAUCUAAAGGCUGAUCUGAAACAUUCUUUAAAGAAGGGGCAACAAAAUAAUUAAUUCCUAAAAAUUUUCUACAUUCUUCUAAUACUUCUGAAAUUGAAUAAAAUCCUUUAUAAAGAGGAUUUGGAAAAUUUUUUAUACAAUCUGAAACUUCUAACCAGGUAUGAUAAAUUCCUGGAAGUCUACCUUGUAAAACAACAUAACACUUAAAUUUUUUAUGAUCUUGACUAAAGUGUUCUGAAAGAGCAUUUAAACAUGCUAAAAAAUAUUUUUGAUCUUUUGGAUUCUUAUUGUAAGAUAUCCAUAAAUUGUCUAAAAUACAUUUUUCUGAUUUAGUAACUGAGAUAUGAGAAAGUGUCUUAAAACUAAUAUUACUGUUUGGAAAACAAAGUAAUUCUAUAUUACCAAAUCUUAACUUAUCAUGAGUUUGUAGUAUAUUUGUCUGAGAACUUGAACUACCAACAAUUGGCAAUCCUGACCUAGGGCCUCUUGGUCUUUGCAUCUGCAAGAAAUAAUCAGUCAUAUUCUUUAUUUUUAAUUAUUCUACUUAAAAUAUCUGCUAUCUGAUUAUCACUACCUUUAAUAUGUUCAAAAUUAAUUACUAAUCCAGUCUUAGUAAUUCUAUCUAUAAAAUUUAACCAUCUUCUUCUAUUACUUCUUUUAUUUUCUAAUUUCAUUUUAUUAACAAAACUUACUAUUGCUUCACAAUCUGUUCUUAAAGUAAUUUCUUUUUUANNNNNNNNNNNNNNNNNNNNNNNNNNNNNNNNNNNNNNNNNNNNNNNNNNNNNNNNNNNNNNNNNNNNNNNNNNNNNNNNNNNNNNNNNNNNNNNNNNNNNNNNNNNNNNNNNNNNNNNNNNNNNNNNNNNNNNNNNNNNNNNNNNNNNNNNNNNNNNNNNNNNNNNNNNNNNNNNNNNNNNNNNNNNNNNNNNNNNNNNNNNNNNNNNNNNNNNNNNNNNNNNNNNNNNNNNNNNNNNNNNNNNNNNNNNNNNNNNNNNNNNNNNNNNNNNNNNNNNNNNNNNNNNNNNNNNNNNNNNNNNNNNNNNNNNNNNNNNNNNNNNNNNNNNNNNNNNNNNNNNNNNNNNNNNNNNNNNNNNNNNNNNNNNNNNNNNNNNNNNNNNNNNNNNNNNNNNNNNNNNNNNNNNNNNNNNNNNNNNNNNNNNNNNNNNNNNNNNNNNNNNNNNNNNNNNNNNNNNNNNNNNNNNNNNNNNNNNNNNNNNNNNNNNNNNNNNNNNNNNNNNNNNNNNNNNNNNNNNNNNNNNNNNNNNNNNNNNNNNNNNNNNNNNNNNNNNNNNNNNNNNNNNNNNNNNNNNNNNNNNNNNNNNNNNNNNNNNNNNNNNNNNNNNNNNNNNNNNNNNNNNNNNNNNNNNNNNNNNNNNNNNNNNNNNNNNNNNNNNNNNNNNNNNNNNNNNNNNNNNNNNNNNNNNNNNNNNNNNNNNNNNNNNNNNNNNNNNNNNNNNNNNNNNNNNNNNNNNNNNNNNNNNNNNNNNNNNNNNNNNNNNNNNNNNNNNNNNNNNNNNNNNNNNNNNNNNNNNNNNNNNNNNNNNNNNNNNNNNNNNNNNNNNNNNNNNNNNNNNNNNNNNNNNNNNNNNNNNNNNNNNNNNNNNNNNNNNNNNNNNNNNNNNNNNNNNNNNNNNNNNNNNNNNNNNNNNNNNNNNNNNNNNNNNNNNNNNNNNNNNNNNNNNNNNNNNNNNNNNNNNNNNNNNNNNNNNNNNNNNNNNNNNNNNNNNNNNNNNNNNNNNNNNNNNNNNNNNNNNNNNNNNNNNNNNNNNNNNNNNNNNNNNNNNNNNNNNNNNNNNNNNNNNNNNNNNNNNNNNNNNNNNNNNNNNNNNNNNNNNNNNNNNNNNNNNNNNNNNNNNNNNNNNNNNNNNNNNNNNNNNNNNNNNNNNNNNNNNNNNNNNNNNNNNNNNNNNNNNNNNNNNNNNNNNNNNNNNNNNNNNNNNNNNNNNNNNNNNNNNNNNNNNNNNNNNNNNNNNNNNNNNNNNNNNNNNNNNNNNNNNNNNNNNNNNNNNNNNNNNNNNNNNNNNNNNNNNNNNNNNNNNNNNNNNNNNNNNNNNNNNNNNNNNNNNNNNNNNNNNNNNNNNNNNNNNNNNNNNNNNNNNNNNNNNNNNNNNNNNNNNNNNNNNNNNNNNNNNNNNNNNNNNNNNNNNNNNNNNNNNNNNNNNNNNNNNNNNNNNNNNNNNNNNNNNNNNNNNNNNNNNNNNNNNNNNNNNNNNNNNNNNNNNNNNNNNNNNNNNNNNNNNNNNNNNNNNNNNNNNNNNNNNNNNNNNNNNNNNNNNNNNNNNNNNNNNNNNNNNNNNNNNNNNNNNNNNNNNNNNNNNNNNNNNNNNNNNNNNNNNNNNNNNNNNNNNNNNNNNNNNNNNNNNNNNNNNNNNNNNNNNNNNNNNNNNNNNNNNNNNNNNNNNNNNNNNNNNNNNNNNNNNNNNNNNNNNNNNNNNNNNNNNNNNNNNNNNNNNNNNNNNNNNNNNNNNNNNNNNNNNNNNNNNNNNNNNNNNNNNNNNNNNNNNNNNNNNNNNNNNNNNNNNNNNNNNNNNNNNNNNNNNNNNNNNNNNNNNNNNNNNNNNNNNNNNNNNNNNNNNNNNNNNNNNNNNNNNNNNNNNNNNNNNNNNNNNNNNNNNNNNNNNNNNNNNNNNNNNNNNNNNNNNNNNNNNNNNNNNNNNNNNNNNNNNNNNNNNNNNNNNNNNNNNNNNNNNNNNNNNNNNNNNNNNNNNNNNNNNNNNNNNNNNNNNNNNNNNNNNNNNNNNNNNNNNNNNNNNNNNNNNNNNNNNNNNNNNNNNNNNNNNNNNNNNNNNNNNNNNNNNNNNNNNNNNNNNNNNNNNNNNNNNNNNNNNNNNNNNNNNNNNNNNNNNNNNNNNNNNNNNNNNNNNNNNNNNNNNNNNNNNNNNNNNNNNNNNNNNNNNNNNNNNNNNNNNNNNNNNNNNNNNNNNNNNNNNNNNNNNNNNNNNNNNNNNNNNNNNNNNNNNNNNNNNNNNNNNNNNNNNNNNNNNNNNNNNNNNNNNNNNNNNNNNNNNNNNNNNNNNNNNNNNNNNNNNNNNNNNNNNNNNNNNNNNNNNNNNNNNNNNNNNNNNNNNNNNNNNNNNNNNNNNNNNNNNNNNNNNNNNNNNNNNNNNNNNNNNNNNNNNNNNNNNNNNNNNNNNNNNNNNNNNNNNNNNNNNNNNNNNNNNNNNNNNNNNNNNNNNNNNNNNNNNNNNNNNNNNNNNNNNNNNNNNNNNNNNNNNNNNNNNNNNNNNNNNNNNNNNNNNNNNNNNNNNNNNNNNNNNNNNNNNNNNNNNNNNNNNNNNNNNNNNNNNNNNNNNNNNNNNNNNNNNNNNNNNNNNNNNNNNNNNNNNNNNNNNNNNNNNNNNNNNNNNNNNNNNNNNNNNNNNNNNNNNNNNNNNNNNNNNNNNNNNNNNNNNNNNNNNNNNNNNNNNNNNNNNNNNNNNNNNNNNNNNNNNNNNNNNNNNNNNNNNNNNNNNNNNNNNNNNNNNNNNNNNNNNNNNNNNNNNNNNNNNNNNNNNNNNNNNNNNNNNNNNNNNNNNNNNNNNNNNNNNNNNNNNNNNNNNNNNNNNNNNNNNNNNNNNNNNNNNNNNNNNNNNNNNNNNNNNNNNNNNNNNNNNNNNNNNNNNNNNNNNNNNNNNNNNNNNNNNNNNNNNNNNNNNNNNNNNNNNNNNNNNNNNNNNNNNNNNNNNNNNNNNNNNNNNNNNNNNNNNNNNNNNNNNNNNNNNNNNNNNNNNNNNNNNNNNNNNNNNNNNNNNNNNNNNNNNNNNNNNNNNNNNNNNNNNNNNNNNNNNNNNNNNNNNNNNNNNNNNNNNNNNNNNNNNNNNNNNNNNNNNNNNNNNNNNNNNNNNNNNNNNNNNNNNNNNNNNNNNNNNNNNNNNNNNNNNNNNNNNNNNNNNNNNNNNNNNNNNNNNNNNNNNNNNNNNNNNNNNNNNNNNNNNNNNNNNNNNNNNNNNNNNNNNNNNNNNNNNNNNNNNNNNNNNNNNNNNNNNNNNNNNNNNNNNNNNNNNNNNNNNNNNNNNNNNNNNNNNNNNNNNNNNNNNNNNNNNNNNNNNNNNNNNNNNNNNNNNNNNNNNNNNNNNNNNNNNNNNNCUUUACUACUCAUUAAAUUUAUUACUUUAUCUCUGUAUAAUUUAUAUUUUGUUUGAGAAUUAUUACUACAUCUUCCUAAAAAUCCUAUACUUAUUAAUAAAUUCUCUCCUGAAACAACAUCUUCAUAUCCAUGUGUUUGAAUUCCUAUUUUAAUUUUUUCUAAAAAAUCUUUUAUGGUUAAUAAGAAAUCUGGAUUACAAUAUAUAAUUCCAUUAUUAUCAUUCAUAUCAACUUCUGUACUAGCUAUCAUACUCUUUUCUAUAUUUUGGAUUCUUUCAUCAUAAAUAGUUAAUAAAACUUUAUUUUCUAAAUUUUUUCUCAUUAAUCCUUUAAUUCCUAUUACUAUUAAUCCUAAAUGCAUAAAUCUAAAAUUCUUUUUUCUUAAUUCUUUUUUAGAUUCUUCUGAUAUUAAUGAUAAUUGUCUUACUUGACCAUCUAAACAUUGAAUUGAUACUUCUCUAGUAUGUCUAAAAAAUUGGGUUCUUGAUUCAAAAAUUCCUCUAUUAUAUAAAUUUUCUGGAUUAAGUAAUUGUAAACCAUGAGUUUGGAAUCUAUUAUAGUCUUGUUCAGGAUCUAUAAGUUCUUCAAUAUUCUGAUUAUAUUGAGGCUGUCUAUGUAAAAUUCUUUCUAUUAUAUUAGUACUUAUGUUAGAAGUACUAUGUCUACCUCUAUCAUAAGGUUCUGAAGAUGAUCCUACUUCUCUAAUAGUUCUUGACCUACCAGGAAAAUUAUUCAUAUUUUAUAAAAUGUUGUAGAUAAUUUUCUAGUAAUUUUUUCUUUACCUGUAUUUUUUAAACUUAAUUUAUCUAAAUUAUUUAUUAUAUUUUCAAUUUCUUGAUUUGGUUUAUUUUCUAUAUUGUUUAAUUUUUUAUUUAUAUUUUUUAUUGUUUCUGUAGUCUUAAGAUCUGGAAAUUUUUUUUUAUCUUCUACUCUAGAGAUUUUAUUUAAAAUUGUUGAAUUUUGUUCUUUAAUAAAAUCUAGGUUUUCACAAAUUUUAUUAAUAUCUUUCUCAAUAUUAAAGAUUCUUUUUCCUAAAAUACUAAGUUCUCCAGUUAAUUUAUUAAUUUCUUUUACUAAAAGAUCCAGUUUUAAAACUCUAAUAUGAAUAAUAAAAAGAAUCUAAUGAAAAAUUUGUAUGAUCUGAUAAAUAAUUAUUAUCAAUAUUAUCUAAUUCAAUCCUUAAUUUUAGAUCUGAUAUAAAUGUCUGAUCAAAACUAUUUAUAAAAUAUUCUUCUCUAAAUUCUGAAAUUAAAGAUCUAUAUAAAAUCUGUUCCUUUAAUUCUAGGUGUAAAUCUUUAGUUACAUGUAAGAUAGAAAAUAAAUAAUCUAUAGGUUUAUAUUUUUCAAGAGAAAUAAAUUUUAUACCGUAUUCAAAAAUCUCUUCUAUUUCUUUAUAAAAUGUAAAACUAUAGAAUAUUUUUUCUAGAUCUACAAGUAAAAUUCUAAAAAUCAUAAAACAAGUAAGUAAUUUCUAAAGAUUAAAAGAGUUAUACCUUUUACAAAAUCUGAAGAAAUAUUCUGAAAUCACCAGCACCGAAACAAAAGCUCUGAUACCAAAAGAGGGGGGUCCCUGAAAAAGAGGUUAUUUCAAGGAUUUUAAGGCUGUUAUAAGAGGUUGUUAAGAUAAAUUAUAAAAAUCCUACUCAGUACUCUUCUUAAUUUAAAUGUCUUUUUCUUUUGAUAAAAUAAUAUCCCAUUUUUUUUUUUAAAUCAUGCCAUCUGAGAUAUAUGAACUUGGGCCAAACUCCAUUCUUGUAAGGACACCACUGGCACUCCCUUAACAAGAAUUCUUAAAACAGUGAUCCCUUUCCCUCUUCUAUGCGUCUCCUAGCCUCUUCACUGGGCCUUUACGCUUUGAGAGGUCACUCAGAGCUUAUUUUAAAAACAGUUUGAACUUUUAACUUGGAGUUAAAACAUGCUAUUAUCAUAUAUUCAGCAUGAAACAUAAAACUCUUUACAAAAAUCAUAAAACUUUUACAAAAUAAAAAUUUAUGAACAAAAAUUGUUCUUAAAAGAUCUGGAACUAAUAUUAACUAUUAGCACCAUAUCUUAGAACUAUAAAGCAUACCUACCGGAAUGAUUCAUCGGUAGUUUAAAACAACAUAUUUUUGUGGGAUAUUAUUCUAUCUAAGAAUAAUGUCUUUUUCUUUUGAUAAAAUAAUAUCCCAUUUUUUUUUUUUUAAAUCAUGCCAUCUCACUUAAAUUUUUUAUGAUCUUGACUAAAGUGUUCUGAAAGAGCAUUUAAAUAUGCUAAAAAAUAUUUUUGAUCUUUUGGAUUCUUAUUGUAAGAUAUCCAUAAAUUGUCUAAAAUACAUUUUUCUGAUUUAGUAACUGAGAUAUGAGAAAGUGUCUUAAAACUAAUAUUACUGUUUGGAAAAUAAAAUAAUUCUAUAUUACCAAAUUUUAACUUAUCAUGAGUCUGUAGUAUAUUUGUCUGAGAACUUGAACUACCAACAAUUGGCAAUCCUGGCCUAGGGCCUCUUGGUCUUUGCAUCUGCAAGAAAUAAUCAGUCAUAUUCUUUAUUUUUAAUUAUUCUACUUAAAAUAUCUGCUAUCUGAUUAUCACUACCUUUAAUAUGUUCAAAAUUAAUUACUAAUCCAGUAUUAGUAAUUCUAUCUAUAAAAUUUAACCAUCUUCUUCUAUUACUUCUUUUAUUUUCUAAUUUCAUUUUAUUAACAAAACUUACUAUUGCUUCACAAUCUGUUCUUAAAAUAAUUUCUUUUUUUGGAAAUAAUGAAUAAUUCAAAAGAAUCUAAUGCAUUAUUAACUGCAAGUAAUUCUAAAUCUAUACUACUUAUAUGACCUUUUUCUUUAUAAUUUUCACUAUUAUAUCUUACAAUUUUUUCACUAUCUUUAUCUGCAUAUUUAUUGGGUUUUGCAAUUAAAAUUGCUCCCCAUCCUGUUAUACUUCCAUCUGUUUCUAUAAUUAAAAAAUCUGUUUCUAGUGGCAUAGAUAAUUUAGGUAAAUCUUUUAAUUUUCCUUUUAUUUUUUGAACUAAUUCAAUAUCUUCUAUAUUAAAAUAUCUUUGACCUUUUGGUGAAGUUUUUCCAUAUAAAGGUCCUGCAAUUUUUCCCAAAUCUUUGAUAAAGGGUCUAGCAUAAUUUACUAAUCCUAAAAAAUUUUGUAGCUGCUUAAGGUCUUCAAGUUUAUGUGGAAAAUCUAAAGCUUUUUGGGCUAUAUGAGGUUGUAACUCUAUUUUUCCUUUUUCUAUAUUUACUCCUAGAAAUUCUAUAAAUUCUUUAAAUAAGAACAUUUUCUUUUUAUUUAUAAUUAAACCAUGUCUAAUAAAUUCUGAAAAGAGAAUUUGUAAAUGACCUCUAUGUUCUCGCCUAUUUUUACUAAAUACUAAAAUAUCAUAUAUAUAAACAAUAAUGAAUUUAUUAUGUUUACUAAAAAUACUAUCCAUUUUUUUUUUGGAAAAUACUAGGGGUAUUUUUUAAUCCAAAUGGCAUAACUAACCAUUCAAAAUGUCCUUCUGGGCUAGUGAAGGCUGUCCAUUCUAUUGAAUCUGGGUGCAUUUUUACUUGCCAAAAAUCAGAUUUUAAAUCAAACUUACUAAAAAUAUUACAAUUUUGAAUUUUAUUUAUUAAAACUGUUUUAUCUGGAAUAUUAUAAGCAUCAUCUAUUGUAUUAUCAUUUAAUCUUUUAUAAUUAAUUACCAUUCUACUUUUUCCUCUAAUAAUUUCUGAAUGUUUUCUAACUAUAAAAAUAUAAUAUAUAUUACAUAAAACGUCACUUUUAAGUGGCCCAAUAAUAAUCCCAUAGCCCAAGAGUUCUAAUUGGUCCAAAUAGUCUCCCCAAUUUUUUUUUUUUUAAUAAUUAAGCUAGAUGUACAUCCUUGUUGACAACAAGGAUGACAUCCUCCCCUACGUAGAGGAAAUAUGUACAAUGAUAUGAUGGAAGGAUUGAAAAUUCAGAGUGUAGAUAUUGCCAUAUGAAAGAGUAUAAAUGAAUGUGGAUAAAAAAGUAUACAUGUAACAAGAUUGUUUUCUUUUUUUUUUUCUAUAUAUAUAUAUAUAUAUAUAUAUAUAUAUAUAUAUAUAUAUAAUGUAAACGGUGGUUUGUGAAUUUAUUCCUAUGACACAUGUCUAUGUUCAAAGAUAAAUUUAUUCAUAAAUAAUGUUCGUAGAAUAUAUCUGUACAAAAUAUCCAUCGAAAUCUAAUUUAAAGGAAACGUAAACAUUUCAUGAUUAACUAAAGAUAUUAAGUCAUCGGCUUCUCCAUGGCAUAUCACAUCAUCAUUUAUCAUCAUCCACGUCCUAAGGAAAAUCUAUUCAACCUGUAGGAAGGGAAUUAACCCAUAAGUUUGAAACUCAAUAGAUUUCAUCGGUGCAUUUCGUUGUCAAAUUAAAAAUUUCGAACUAUAGAUUCAUACCAUCGCACGUAGAUAGAUUUCAUACAAAAUCCAAUUACUAUAACAUUAUCAUAACACGUAGAGCCAGAGAAUGAUUAUUAAAAAUGUUGUAAUGUCGAAGCACCGUACCCAGAGAUACCAUUUCAUUCAAACAUUUAUCGAAAAUCAUAAAUUGAAAUGAAGUAAACACUUGCACCUCUACCGACCUUGAAUUUUCUUAGAUAUCAAAGAACAAAAUGUGUAAAAAGUCUUUCUUCUUCUCACUCUUGUUAUUCUCGUAGCUUAAAUUGACAUGAAAUAUAUUUUCUUGAAAGAAAAUGAGAUGAAAUUCGGAAUUGAAGAGGAAUGUAGUGAAAAAGUGAUUUUCCGCUUCUUGUAACCUUUCUUUUUAAUGAAAAACUAAGAGGGGGGGUUGUAUUAUCAUUAAAUUUAUUAAAUUUGAUCUUUAACUAAGAAUUUGAAGAGUCUCUAAACCAUAAAAAAAUAAUUCAUAUAAAAGUUUUAUAAAAACAUCUACAUGGUGAUUCGAACUUGGGUUACCUAUAUGAAAUUCCAUUUGGAUGACCAUUGUGGUAGCCUAGUUAUUCAUUAAAUCUUUGUAAUCAAAUUUAUUUAAACUUAAUAUAUUAAAUUGUUGGGCUUUUAAUUAACUAUGGCUUGGAGCUUUCAAAAUCUUAAAUGGGUUGAGCUUCCAUAGCUCGUUUCUUGAAUGAGCUAGGCUUGUGAUGCUAGAUUAUCAUAACAUAAUAGCCUACCUUCAUUUUAUUUUCUCGGGCUUCUGCAAUCACAGUACCAGGGAUACCUGUAUGCUGUAAAACCAAUCCAAAAGUUUUUGUGGAUAUUUGGAUGGAAAUUGAGUCGUGACUGAUUAUGAUAUUAUCAUACUGGGCAUUUUUCUCUUCGCUCUUAGUUAGGAUAGACUUCGUGCAAAUCAAUGGUGCCCCAACAAGCUAACUUCACUCCUUUGGUUUCUUGGUGCUCGUCUGAAAUGUGGUUUUGUUAGGUAUAUUGGUCAUUAAUACUGAUGUAGACUAAAAACUUUGCCAAUCCUCAUUAAAUUUAUAAUACAUUUUUUUCUCUUAUUUUUUAAUUACACAUUCUCCAAUAAUAAUAAUAUUACACAUAAAUAAAAACUUUUCAUUUUUUUCACCACAUAUUCUCCCAAAAAACUAUUCCAAAAAUUAUAACAUCAAAUAACCGGGCCAAAAUGGAGCUAAAUUAUAUGCUUCGUCCCCAAUCUUUGUCCCUCAUUACACUUUUGCUCCCUACUUUUUUGAGUGACAUUUUUAACAUCGGCCUUUUCAUUAGUUAAGGCCGUUGUCUCUACUACCGAUUUUCACUGAAAAGUUAUGUUUAUCAUAGAAAGACAGAAUUUGCCCUUAAACUUCAAAAAACUAUAUUUCCAAGCCUUUUGAAAAGGUAUAAUUACAUCCAAAACCUUUUACUUUUGGCAACUAUAGAAAUUAAGUUGAGCGAAUAUAUCCUUAUCGUAUCCUGGAUGCUCCAUUAUGUAUGGGAAGAAUGGACCUUUCGGUAACUUGUAUUAUUAUCUUGAUUCCCUUAAAUUUAUGACAGAUGCCAAGAUGUUUUGCGUGUUUGCAUGUUUGGUGUGUGUACAAAUUUUUUGGGUUGGUCAAUCUCAACCGUAUCAUGCUUGAUUGAUACCAAGUUGGGGACAUUGGGAUGUAUAUUACCCCAAUAUACUUUGGACUUGAUAUCUUAGGGCUAUCCUACCUUGUAUUUUGUAAUUUAUUAUACUCUCAUGUCAGGCAUUAAGUGUCUUGUUAUAUUGUUUCAUUUAGGACUUCGUCCUCCAACUCACUCCUUCCACAAAAGGAACAAGUUAGGCACCUUGCAUCUUCUCUAGACUCGUUGGUUUGAUCUGAAGAUAGCUGUCAAACUUGAUCAUUUUUUCUUGACUUUCAACAUCAAUCAAAAUGUAUAUACUCCAUAAAAGAUGAGCGUUUAUGGUAUUAUGUAUAACAUAUUAACAUAUGUAAUGCUAACGCUUCCCUACCGCAAGUUUUUUCCCACGAUUUGAGGGAAAAAAAUAAAAAAUAAAAUAACAAUGUACACACUUAUUCUCAUAAAUGCAUUAAGUUAUCAUCACGUGUCUAAGUAGCCUUAGGACGCUUCACAACUACUAAUGGGCAUUUCACGUGCUUAGCACAGUAAUCACUAACGCUUCCUAGUAAAGCCCUGCAAGUGUAAGAGAGAGUAAUUGCAUUCAGAAAUCAGAAUUACAAGAAAAUUCAACAAUGCUGAAUUUAGAAGCGAAGUUAAGGUACCUUUUGAAGAGACCAUAGUCGUGGCUUCCCAUGACUAAGAUGUCGGCUCCAAGUUUCUCGACAGCUGUGCAUAUCGCGUAUUUAGCAUCUCCACUUCCAACUUUUUUCUCCACUGCGACCUGCAAUUUUCCAUUCGUCAUUUCAGUACCUUUGCAUAACACACAAUCCAUUCACACAGAGGAAAGAGAACACAUACAGUAGUAUUGAAGUUCUUGUAAACUGCCUCCGCCCUUCUCAUCACUGAAUUUGUCAAGUCACUGUUGUGUUUUUCCAUGGUUGCAAUGACAUCAUUGGCAAAUAGAUACCCUACAAAUCAUGGGACUCUUCUUCAGUAGUUCGAAAUGAAACACGAGUUAACAAACUUAAGUUACAUGAAUUUAGUCUUUAACAUAUUUCCUCCCUGCAUGCUAGAUUCAUUUUUAAUCAAAGGUCUAGCACUUGCCUAGGAUUUGUGCCUGUUCUAGUACCGUGUUGAACCACCCCAUCUAAUGACUUAGCUUUUAAGCUACGUGGUGACAAGAGAGAGAGAGAGAGAGAGAGAGAGAGAGAGAGAGAGAGAUCUCUUACCAGUGACAUCUAGAGGAGGUCUGAUGUAGAGGAGAAUUAGGGUACUUGUUGGUAUAUGGUUUUGGGACAAGAGGUUGUCGAGACACCAAGAUAAUGCAUACAUGCUCUCUUCACUUUCAUCUACUGCCACUACUAUUUUCCUUCCCUCCAUGUUAUUUUCUUCCGUUAUAGACAUCCUUAGAAUGAUUUUAGAGAAUUUUCUUGAUUUGAAGACAGCCUGCCUGGUUGUUUGCUUUUAUAGCCAAAUAGUGAAAGCCGUAUCUGGGUUUAAUCUUACAAUUAGGCUAUGCUAAUGAGAUAUUAUAGUGUUGUGAAAUUCCAACAAUGCCAUUUCAACAUUUUGGUUUUGGGAAUUUGCUAUACUUGUGUUUCCAUAGUUACACGUACUUGACCCGACUAUAAUUGAUAGGAAAUUCUAAGUCUAAUUUUAAUGUGUGGGGUCAAAAGUCCCCACUGAUUUAACAAGAAAAGCCUCUAUUAUUGGUAUUUUGUCAAUGGUGUCUAUUUGAAGUCCAUUUCAGUAGUUACCCCAUAGCCAACUUGAAGCCAAUGAGAGCUACUUUUGUGUCAUCUAACCUUGAAAAAGCUAUAAAACCGAUCCAAAAUGAAAGGUUUUGGUAGCAUCAAGGUGGAAUAGAAGCAUUUUAGUGAAUUAUUAUCGUGACAUCAUCCAUAACGUAACGAUACUUAACACCGAAUUGACGAAUAUAAAUUCCAAUUGUAUUGUUUCAAGUAGAAUACAAUUUAGCUUUUCCACUUGUAAUAAAAUUAGUAUAUUCAAGUUGAGACUUCUUUUUACUCACUCGGUAUUUAUAUUUAGAAUGCUCCAAUUUAUUUUUUACAAUGAUUAAAUUUUUGUCUCUUGUAGUCCAUCGUUUUCUUCCAAUUUUCGAAUUUUUGACUAAAUUUUCGUAAUAAAAUUAACAAGAGCAUAUCAUAGACAUGAUCUAUAGUUGAAAAUGAUCAUCAUUGAAGAGAAAUUAAAGUGCAAUUUUCUGGUCUUUUAGGGUAGGGCAACAACGAUGCAUGCACUUGCCAUAAGGUAAGAUAUACCUUCUUGGAGCUUAGCUCGGGGUGAUAUUAUUGCCACAAAAAUAUCUUCAUUAGGAGGGUAAUGUUAACAAAUAUCUUUCAUCAAAAUAUCUGUUUUUAGUCUUGCACCAAAGAUAUUAUUAGAGGCUAUGUUGAUAUCUCAUUUUUGUAGGUGAAAAGGUCCGACUGGACAUUGAACUUACAGGCCAAUAUCAAUUUGGUCUUUAAACUUUAAUUUGUUUCACAUUGGUCACUGAACUGUUAUUUGGUCCAUACAAGUCCAACGGCAAUUAAUUUUGUUUUGCAUAGAUCAUUUUUAUUUUCCUUGCAUGAUGCAACUCAGCUAUUGUCUAUUUGGAUUAACAUUAAUUUCCUCUUAAGACUGCCAAAUGUGAAAAAAAAAAUUUAAAGUUUAACGAUCAACAAAAAACAAAAUUUAAAGUUCGGUGACGAGUUUAGAACAAAUUAAAAUUUGAGUGACUGAUUUUUUACUGCAUUUUUAUCUUCCAAUUAAAUUGACCGCCAAACGAGGCUAAGUAAAUCACGUAUGACAGUGAAUGGCAAUAUGUCAUGGAAAUAGAAUAAGGGAAAAAUUCAUAAUCCAGGUGUAUUAUUUACACUAAUUCAAAAAUCAAGUAUAUAGUUUAAAAAUUCAAAAUUUAAGUAUAUACGUAAUUAAUUAAAAAUAUUUAUUAAAUAAAUAUAAUAAAAUCACAGUUAUACGAUUAAUGGUCAUAUAUUUAUUUGCUGGUCACAUAUCAUCGAAUUAAUUGAUCACAGUUUAUUUUGUGGUCACAAAUCAAAAAUUUUGUGAGUCACAUAUUAUUUGAAGUCACUGGUCACAUAUUUUCAAAUUUAUUGCUCGUAAAUUAUUUUUUUAGUCACAAAUUAUCGAAAUUUAAGGUCAAAGAUUAAUAAUUAGUCCAAAUAGUUGGUCACAUGCACCAAACACCCUACCACCAAUCUCAAUCCAGUACCAAUCUUGGUCACAAAUCACCAGCACACAACUUGCUUGCACUACACCACUGUUGUAGCCCAAAAUUGGCACCACAAUCACCGUGUCAACCAUACCGCUAAAGUCAGCACCACUACCACCGCAACACGAUGUUGACAACCAACACCACCACUAAAUAUCACCAUGAUGGUUGCUUCAACAUCAUCGUCUGAAUCAUUGUGACCACCACAUACACUGAUUGCAUCAUAACUGCCAUCAACACAGCCAACCACCCAAAAAAAUAAAAAUAAAAAUAAAAAAACCUGACCAAAGAUGCACCAUCAUCAUCCCAAUACCACUAUUGCAUGUAUUACUUACCACACCAGAACCAAUAGCAUCUCCGUACACGUCACACACAACACACAAUCACCAUUGCAAAUUGCAAACUACUGCAACCACCAUAUACAGAUAUCACCACUGCCAUUACUAGCACCACCUCAACCCCCAAAACUAGAUCCAAAACCACCCCAUUCUCAAAUCCGCUACUACAGCAACAUCAACAAUAAAUAAAUAGCUUGGUAGCAAAUUGAAAGGAAGUGGCGAGUCUGGGUUUUGUACUUUAGGGCCAAAGGUAAGGCUGUUCGUUCUCACUUAGAUAUGGACCUUCCAAGAAUCGGACCUUCAGCAGGGAAAUUUGAAGCUGGGGUUGGGCGAUAAACUAAACUCAUUAUUUCUUGAAAUGACUUAUAGAUUUUUAAAAUUUUUGAAGUUAAGAAUUUUUAAUAGAGAAAUUAUAAUUCAUCAUCCUUGAUUCAAUUAAUUAAAUUUAAUUCUAAUUUUAUCUUCCUUCAAUUUUAAUUCCUAUACAUAAAUCAAUUAAGUACUUAAAAUAAACAAUUAAUGAAAUGAUUAUCUAAAUAAAUAAAUAAUUAAUUGAUUAAUUAAUUAACUUAAAUAAAGAAAGAAAAAUACAAACUUAUUUGGAGAAAAGGAGUGAAAAGGAGGCGUGUCCCACUUCCACAUUCAUCCCCUAUGAUAAGGGUUAAAUGUACAAUUUGAGAAAUUGUAUUUUUAACCAUUAGGAUAAAUAUACAAAUAUCUCGUUUCAUUAUAAAAUUACACCUGAGAAUUGGGUUAAUAUGAAAUCACUCCAUCUUUAUAACAUUGCACUUCUAAUUCUCAUAGUAUUAUUUUAAUUAUAAUUCCUAAAAUAUCUAUACUGUUAAUUCAAUUAAGUCCCUAAAUUUGUUUUAAAACUUUCUAAAAUAUCAAAAAUCUUUAUAGAAAAUUUAGGAAUGUUACAUUAUCCCUCACGUAAAGAAAUUUUGUCUUCGAAAUUUAAAACCUACCAAAUAAUUCUGGACAUUUAAUCUUCAUACCUUCUUCCUGUUCCUAUGCUACUUCUUCUGAGGCUUGAUUUCUCCACAAAACCUUGACAAGCGGAAUACGUUUGUUUUGUAAUUGUUUAACCUCUCGAAGUAAAAUUUUCACUAGUCUUUCUUCAUAGGUUAAAUUAGUUUCUAGAUCCAAUGGAUUAUCCGAUAAUAUAUGUGAAGCAUCUAGAACAUAAUUUUGAAGAGCACGGACAUGGAAUACAUUGUGGAUUCGAACUAUUGAAGCUGGUAAGUUCAACUUAUAGGCUACUUUACAAAUCUGUUCCAAGGUUUCAAAAUGACCAACAUAUCUGAGACUAAGUUUUCCCAAAUCUAAAUACCCUUUUCAUUAGUACAACUUUCAGGAACACUUCGUCUCUGGUUGCGAAUGCUAAUAGUGUAAUGCCUCGACCCGCAUGAAUCGAAACGUCACUAGAUUAAUUGUACUUUAGCCAUAAAUUUGUUUAACUUGUUUUUAGUAGAAGUUAUAAAGAAUUAAUUUUUUUUUAUAAUUUAAUACUAAAAGAAAACAAUUUCAAAAAAAGAACUGAAUUCAUUCAUACCGUAUAUGCAACAUACCGCAUUUUCAGCAUACUGUAUUUACCACAUAUCGUAUUUACAUCAUACCAUAUUUACAGCAUACCGUCGAAUCGGAAAAAUUAGGUGCUAUCAUAUAGCUUUGUAUCGGCUAAGUUCAUGAGUCACACCACCUUUCAUAUAUAUAACUAUCCAUUAACCUGUGUGGUAAUGAAAUUGAUGACUCGACCUAGACAUGAAAUUUCACACAUUUUUUUCACUUGAUAAAAUGACAUAAGCUAUGUUUCUAAACCAAAAUCAUAUCACCAUAAUCAAACAUAUAUAUAUUCUGAGUUUAUAAACAUGUCUACAUGCCAUGUCAAAAGAUAUACAACGUAGAUCCCCAAUAUACAACAAAAUAGGCCAUAAACACAAAAUAGCAGUCCACAAAAUAAUCUUACAGGUCGUCAUCUAUGUACAUCGAAUUCUAAAAUCUCGUAAGAGCUCCAAGCUAGCCGUGCUCUCUAUGUAGUUCCAUGCUCACCUACAAUAUGCAAGAGCUAUAUAAGCCAAUGCUUAGUAAACAAAAAUCAUGCAUGUCAUGAAUAUGAAUAAUAACGAUAUAUGUCACUAUGUCAUUUACUUUAAACAUCACGAUAAAGAAGCAUCGUAUUCCAAUAUUCAUCAAAGUCGACUCGAAAUUGUUUCAUUUGAAACCUUUCAUUCCCUUAACCCACCUACUAUGCACUAGAUAGAGCUCUACAUAAUACCAAUAUCAAUAAUCAAAUGGCUAACAUGUGACGAGUGGACCAUCCUCUCGUGACCACUAGAGGCCCAUCUCCUAACUACCCCUAUGAUCACCCAAGAAGUCUCCUAUCGACAACGCCAAUAAUCAUAAUAUCACAAGGGCACAGUCGAGUGGUCCACCCUCCCGUGAUCACCAAAGGCCCAUCCCCUGUCUACCUUUGCAAUUACCUAGGAAAUAUUACCCCGCAAUGCCAAACAUAUCACAUAAGCAUGCCUCACAUGCCUUGGUGCCCUAGUAGUGAUCAAUAAAACAUUUAUAAAGAAAACCCACUUUGAAAUCAUGUUUCACAUGCAGGAUUUCCAACUGAUAAGAGUGCAAAAUAUAAUAAUUUUCCCCUCUUAAUUAUUGCAUUCGUGUUACUAUUUGAUACCAAAAUGUACUAAUUAUACUUAUGAUUUGAUUCAGGUAUCACCUUGGUAGAAAAGUUGAAAUUUAGAAGAAAAAAGCGAAAAAAAGGACCAAAAUGGAAGAAAGUGAAAGUUCAAGGACCAAGUUGCAAAUAAUUCAUAAUGAGACGGGCAAUGGAAUGAUGAUUCAAGAAAUCUAGGAGUCAAUUGGGUGUAAUUUGAAGUCAAAAGAAGUGAAAUAUGACCAAAACAUCUUCACAAAUCAAUUCCCAAUUGAAAAAGUUACGUAUCAAUUUUCAGUCUUAUAUUAGGACCAAUUUUUGACAUGGAAAAUGAUCGAUCUAGAAGAUGAUUCUGAAUCAAAGUUGUAGCGCUUUAAGUUAUCUUUCCAAAGCAACUUGAAUCACCUUAAUGGGACAUUGGGAGAGAAAUUUAUGGCCAAAAUACUAAAAGCUAUCCGGCGGAGAAAAUGGUGACAACCAUGCGGUCGCAUGGUUAUAAAGCCAUGCGGUUGCAUGGCUGUCUUCCGAGAACUUCUAGGGCCAUUUUGGUUGAACCAUGCAGCUGCAAGCAUUUUUUUUAUGGCGAAAUCCCAGAUUCCUAUUUUAACACGGACACUUAUGGAAACUUUUGGGCACACGUUUUCAAGCCCUAAUCUCGACCCAUAACACCAUUCUUCUUCCUCUCCACAUCAAUUUCAUCUUGGCUGAAGAAAUCCAUGAAGAAUUAAACUUAUUGGUGAAGCCACAAAGGAACUCGGUUAGAUUUGGGAAUUUUCAUAUUUUUUUUUGCUUAAAUGUGUUCUUUCAUUGUUAAACAAUUCUAGAUUUAGAUUUCUUAUUCUUAUGAACAUGUUUUGGGGUUGGUUUAAUUUGUAUUAAAUUUUCAUGAAUUCAAUCACGUUUUUUCCAUCGAAUAAUUGAAGUACUUAUUGAAUUUCAAUCUUAAAUCUCCUAUUGAUGUGAUUCUUUACCAUUAUAUGCUUGAUAUAUUUAAUCGCUUUUGGAUCUAAUUUCAAUAUAUUAUUGUGGAAUUAUAUUAUGAAAGAAAUCUAGGUUUGGGGAAUUAUUGUGGAAUUGAAUAGGUUUGAAGGUUAAAUUUUCCAAUUAAAAUGUUGGGAUAAAAACAUUUAAUUGAGUAUUAUCAUGCAAAAAUUGACAUUGAUUGAACCAAUCUAAUUGAGGGAAUUCCGGCGCUUCAUUAUUUCAUAUAUUGAUAUUAAACUUUUACUUCAAUUUAUUCCAAUCGACAAAUUAUUUUCACACAAAUCACGACACAAAUCCUAAGCUUGAUCCUUUAAAUAAUUUUUCAUUUCCCUGUGGAUACGAUACCCCAAAGCUUUACUACAAUUACCUCAUUAAUCUUUAGGCGUAAUCACCAACCAUGAUCACAUGUCAUGCAUAUAUAUGAAAAUGCUCAUGAAUGACAUAUUUAAUGAAAAUUGAUAUCAAUAGGUUCCGCAACCUCAUACUCAACGAUCAUAACCAUCAUAUAAUGUGCUAUAAGCCUCUUAUGAAACUUAUGUAAAUAUUCCAAUAUUACCAUAUCGCAAAUACUAGGUUCUUGCAUCGUAGUUGAAAAUGGAUUUUUACUUACCUUUCGCCUUUGUGUGUGCAAGCUCCUACGGAGUGUAUAUCAAUUUCCUUUUUUGCACAACGUUGAAAAAUCACCUUUAUUACCAUAUAAUAUUAAAGACAAUCCUCCAUUUAAUAACCUUAACACACACAAUCCCAAAAUACGUCCAUUCACACCAAAAUAAUUUAGACAAAAUCAUUAUUGCAAGUUACUGAUGGCAUUACAAACUAAUCCCGUAAGUCUCGCUAUUUUUCGAAUCCAAUUAUGGACGUCAACAUCAUCCAAUUGUUGUCAUUAACCUUGUACUCCUUAGAAUCUAUUUUCUAGGCCCAAGAGUUCAUUAAUGGACAUAUAAAUGUUGAAAUCACAUUAAAUGCCCAAAUGGAAAGAAUCUGUUUUCUAGGUUUCCAUCGCCAUCCACUCAUUUUUCGAAUUCUUUUUCAUGCCCUUACCUACAUUUAACGGCUCCCAAAUUUUACCCCAUGCCUAUAACAUAUAUGUGAAGAUAAUCAGGUCAUAAGGUUGUUACAAAUGAGGUGUUUUGAGCUUCAAAAACAGUCCAUUUUUCACUACACAAAAUCAGGCAGUUUUUCCCGUUGACUGUUUUAUGUUUCCAUUUUAUUAGUAUGAUACCAAUAGAAUUCUAGGCCAUUAAAGAUCAUUUCUACACUUCAUACUUACAUAUAAAAAUGUUCAUAUCGAUAGAUAUAAGUUACACACUAAGUAUCGUCCCAAAAUCAAGGUAUAUACUCAAAUCCAGCAACCUAUAUCUCUGCCCAGGUUGUUUUCCCUCAAGUUCUUGUAAUUGAUUACCUCUAUUUUGGCGUCAUAAAAUCAUUAACAACACUCCAACCUAAGCACAAGCAAGUUCAGAUGUUCAAGAAAUUAUAAAUCCCUUAAGAAAUAAUGGAUACAAGCCUCAAACCGUGAAGUAACAAAGCUGUCAGAAAUUCCAGCUUCUUGUUUCUAUUUCUUUUUGACUAUUUCACUCUCUUUUUCACUUGAAAUCACUUAGAGACGAGCUAAGAGAGUUAAUAUAUUGUCUAGGAGGUAAUGAGUGGUCUUUAGGUGGUUGAGGUUGUGCAUAUUGCUUAAGGGUGAAGAAAAAUGUGAACAAAGGACAAGUGUCCUUAAGCAUGAGCUGUCGAAGCAUGAUGUGUCUUCUUAGCAGCAAUACUUGACUUUCAACCAUUAUAUUUGGAUCCAUUUGUGACUUUUAAGAUAUAUAUUCAUCCUAUAUUAAGUUCUUGGGGAGCAGACACGAAAUUGAUGCCUUAAGGUUGAAGAAAUUGAGUGUUAAAGUGACAAACAUUCCAAGCACAAGGUGUUCAAGCAUGAGGUGGUUACUUGUAGUAAAAAUCUGCUUUUAUAUCCAUCAUUGUAGGUACAAACCAAGUAUCCUUGGCUUGUUUUGAUGUUUUUACAAUCCAUUUCACUUGCCCUAAGAUCCCAAAAUAUAUUAUAGAGCUAAUUCCUCAACCAUUCAUUUAAUUUCUUACCCGAUUGACACCCGAUUUUCAACCGAUUUCAACAAUUUGCACCUCAAUAUUUAUAAAGGUAUAUGAGACAUAUAUUAUCGCGAUGUGAUCAUGUCACUUCAUGCCUCAUGUCCCAAAUAUGUCAAUUACCUAUCUAGGGUUUAAGGUGACCUCGAUUAGCCGAAUGGAAAGCUUGAACCUUCAUCGAUACUAAUUUUCGGCCUUUCCAAUAUUACAUUACUUACCAAGCCAAUCUCCAACAUUUAGUUAACCUAAUUUUCUAUUAUAGAUUAAUACAAAAUUCAUCAUCUAGGUCGAGGAGUCGAAGGUUAUCGCCGUGUAAAAAAUUAUAAAGCCUUAAUGACCGAAUAUAUCGUUUUAAGAGAAAGCAAUUAGAAAAUUGAUGUAAAUGACAAUGUAAUAACCAUGAAAUACAUGAAUCAUAUUGGCAAAAAUUAUAAUAGGAAUUUUGGGGUAUUACACCGUAUAUGCAUGUAACGACUAUUGACGCGGAAUUUUGCAAAACUUUAAAAGUAAUAUUGUUGUUUCAGUUUUUAUCUCAAAUGGUAAUUAUCAAAAUAAAUUUGUUUGCAUAGCUAUCAACCUUGAAACUUCAUCAAAUUUUAAUCUAAAGUAGGAAACUCCUUAUAAUACCACAUAGUGAAAAAUUAGCUUUCCUCGGCAUCAUAUGAGGUGUUAAAAUAUUUUUUUAAAACCCAGCAGCAACCCGGUUGAAAGGUAAACCAGUGCAGUUCACUUAAAAUGACAUAUAAAGUUCAAAAGACAUCAAAACCACAUGAUUUUAAAUUUAUUCAGUAGAUAAUCCAAAAGACUAUCAAAUCUAAUUAGUUUCAUAUAGAAAUUCCAAGUAAAGGUUGAUUUAUGAAUUUUCGAAGUUAAGACAGAAGCUGGAAAAACGGCGACUCUACCUCGUACAGUUUACUUUGUGCAAUAUAUAAAAUUCUUCCGAUAUCGGAUUGACAUGAUUCUGAGUUUAUUCAAUAGCUAACUUAUGAGGCUAUCCAACACCACUUUUUUUGUAUAAAAAUACCAAGUAGCGAAGGAGUUAUGAAUUUUUAAAGACGAGGCAGAAUCUGAAUUUUUUAAAGAGACGACAAAAUUUUAAAUCGCUAACUUUUUUUUUUUUUUUAAAUGUUGAUUUGUAAAUUUAUUCCUAUGACACAUAUCUACUUUCAAACAUAAUUUAUUCACAAAGAGUUUUCAUAAAAUAGAUCCAUACAUGACAUCCAUGGGAUCUAAUUUAAAUAAAACGUAAACAUUUCAUAAUCAACUAAAGAUAUUAAAUCAUCGGCUUCUCCAUAGCAUGUUGCAUCAUCCUUUAUCAUCAUCUACACCCCAAGAAAAAUUCAUUCAACCUAUAGGAAGGGAAUUAACCCAUGAGUUUGAAACUCAAAAGAUAUCAUCGAUUCAUUUCAUUGUCAAAUUAAAAAUUUCGAACUAUAGAUUCAUACCAUUGCACUUAGAUGGAUUUUCGGCAAAAUCCAAUUAUUAUGGAAUUAUCAUAACACGUAAAGCUGGAAAAUGAUUAUUCAAACUAUUGUAGUGCCGAAGCACCAUACCCGGAGGUACCAUUUCAUUCAAAUAUUUAUCGAAAAUCAUAAUUUAAAACGAAGUAAACACUUGCACCUCUACCUACCUUGAAUUUUCUUGGAUAUCAAAGAGCAAAAUGUAUAGAAAGCCUUUCUUCUUCUUACCCUUGUUAUAUAUAUAUAUAUAGAAAAUGAGAUGAAAUUCGGAUUUGAGAGGGGCUUAAUAAAAAAGUGACUUUCCACUUCUUGGAGCCUUUCUUUUUAAUGAAAAAUUAAGUGGGAGAGUUGUAUUAUCAUUAAAUCUAUUAAAUUUGGUCUUUAACUAAGAAGUUGAAGAGUCUCUAAGCCAUAAAAGAAUAAUUCAUAUUAAUGUUUUAUAAAAUCAUCUACAUGGUGAUUCAAAUUUGGGUUGCCUAUAUGAAAUUCCAUGCAGAUGACAAUUGCGGCAACCCAGUUAUCCUUUAAAUCUUUGUAAUCAAAUUUAGUUAAACUUAAUCUCUUAAAUUGUUGGGCUUUUAAUUAACUUAUGGCUUGGGCUUUCAAAAUCUUAAAUAGGUUGAGCUUCCAUAACUCGUUUUUUGAAUGAGCUAGACUUAUGGUGCUAGAUCAUCAUAGCAUAAUAGCCUAAUUUUAUUUUAUUUUUCGGGCUUCUACAUCCCUUACACCUUAAACAAAUUUCGUCCUCGAAAUUUACCUUAUGAAUUGGCAAAAAGUGUCGGAUAUUUGUCUUUGACUUCUUCUCUUUCCCAAGUAGAUUCUUCUACUCCAUGAUUAUUUCAUAGCACUUUGACUAGUUGAAUCUCCUUGUUCCGUAAUUUAUGUACCUUUCGAUCCAGUAUUUUUAAUCGGUAAUUCCUCAUAAUAUAAAUCUUUCUGUACUUCUAGGGGUUGAUAAUUCACUAUGUGAUUAGGAUCAUACACAUAUUUCCUGAUCAUCGAUAUAUGAAACAUGUUGUGGAUGGCUGAUAGUUCAGGUGGCAAAUCCAGUCGAUAAGCCCCAUUUCCGACCCUGUCAAGUAUUUCAAAAUGUCUGAUAUAAUGAGGCAUAGUUUGCCUUUCUUGCCGAACCUAAGUACACCCAUUAUUGGUACCACCUUUAGAAAAAAUUUCUCUCAAACUUCAAAUUCCAAGUCUUUUCUUUUGGUAUCUGCAUAGCUCUUUUGUCUAUCUUGCGAUGCCUUUAACCUAGAACGGAUCUUAUCAAUAGCUUCGACUGUCUUUUCAAUGAUCUCUGAUCCCAAACUCUCUUUUCUCCAACUUCAUCCCAAUGAUCAGGUGAUCUGCAUCUUCUACCAUAGAGAGCUUCAUACGGUAACAUUUCAAUAAUUGCUUGGAAACUAUUAUUAUAUGCAAAUUCCACUAAAGGUAGAUACGAUUCCCAACUACCUCCUAGAUCCAGAACAUAGGCCUUUAGCAUAUCUUCCAAAGUUUGAAUGGUCCUUUCAAAUUGACCAUUUGAUUGAAGGUGAUAUGUCGUACUGAAAUUCAAUUUCAUUCCUAUAGCUCCUUGUAAGCUCUUUCAAAACUUUGACGUAAAUCUCGAAUUUCUAUCGGACACGAUAGAUACAGAGACACCAUGCAAUUUUACAAUCUCUUUAAUGUACAACUGAGCUAGCUGAUCUAGACUGAAUGUCACUUUUUGCAGGAAGGAAAUGAGCGGACUUUGUUAGACGAUCCACUAUUACCAAUAUAGUAUUGUGUCUUCUUGCUGACUUUGAAAAUCCUACCACAAAGUCCAUUGAGAUAUUCUCCCACUUCCAUUCAGGUAUGUCCAAUAGAUUUCCUACUAGUCUUUGAUGUUCUGGUUUAACUUGUUGGCACACAAUGCAUUUUACCACAAAUGAGCCUAUACUUCCUUUCAUGUUCCUCCACCAAAAUGUAUCUCGAAGGUCUCGAUACAUUUUCGUACCACCAAGAUGUGUGGUGUACGGGGUGGAAUAAGCUUCCUCCAAUAUCUCCUUUCUCAAAACUUUAUCCUUAGGUACACAAAUUCUUCCUUUAAACAUUAGUGCCUGAUCAGAAGCUAUUUCAAAAUCCUUUCUCUUAUCAGAACCAAUCUUGUUCUUGAUCUUCUGCAAAAAUGGGUUUUUAUCCUAUGCUUCUAUAAUCCGAUCUCUAAGAGUGGGUCGAACCAUCAAAGUUGCUAAAUGAGCAGUGACUUGAUCUAGUAUGGUAAUCACUUCAAUUCGCAAAUUUUCCAAGUCUUUGAUCAACUUCAUCGGAAUAGUAGAUAAUGAUGCCAACUGUCCCAUCGACUUUCUACUUAGAGCAUCAACAACAACAUUAGCCUUACCAGGAUAGUAAUGAAUAGUUACAAUCAUAAUCAUUUACAAGCUCCAACCAUCAUCUCCGUCUCAUUGAUGAGUGCUCUACACUCAUGAUAUUUAUACCACCUAAUUUGUUAUUUUGCUACUCUUGAGAGUGUUUUAGAACGUUUAAUGUGUGUUUUGAUGUUGUGAUGUAGAUUGAUGAAAUUGAAGGAAUUACGCAAAAGUUGGUAAAAUUGGAGAGAAUGGGCCAAAUUGUAAAAGAUCCAAAGUUCGGGGACUAAAAUGUAAAUAAUCUAAACUUGUAUCAAACCUUGGAGUGUUAGGAUUCAAUUGGAUGAGGAAAGAUGUCAAAGGGAUCAAAUUUAGGCAAAAUGUGAUCACAAAUCAAUUUCCAAUCGAAAAGUUAUGCUCCAGAAUUUCAGUCUCAUUUUGAGACCUAUUUCUAAUAUAGUAAACGAUUGAAUUGGAAAAUGAUGUUUGAAUAAAAUUUAUUUCCCUUUGAGUUAUCUUUCCAACGCAUCUUGAAUCACCUCAAUCGGAUAUCGGACAAAGAAGUUAUAGCAAAAAUACUGAAAGGGGCGAAAACCAUCUUUUCCACCCGAAGUGGGCGCCAUGGCACCCACAUUUGGCACCACAGCGCCCAAGAUGCUGAAAAUUAAUAGUGAAUGCGGCGCCACGGCGCCCAUCUUGGACGCCAAGGUGCCGCCUGUGCGCAAAAACAGGAUUUUAUAUUUAUGGAAUCUUUUCUUGGCCCAACUCAACCCUAAUUCGUCCAAUAACUUCAAGAUACUAUAAAUACCAUUUAAAAGACCUAUUUUCAAGAAAGGAUGGAAGGAGGCAAGAUUGAAGGAUUCAACCACACAAUUUGAAGGAGGCAAAAAUUGAAGACACAAAAAGGAAAGAGGAAAAACAUCAAGGAAGAAGAUUGAAGAUCUAUCCAAAAGACUAGUUUUUUCUAUCAUUUUCCUUAUGUUGUUUGUUAUAAUUUGUAUGAUUUUCAUUUAUUAUAUCAUGAACUAAACAAAUUAUCUAGGGGUUUGAUGUAGCCGAAUCGAGUAUGGUUUGAUGAUUUUAUAAUUAUUUCUUUGAUUUUUCCACAUAUAUUUAAUUGUGUCAUGAUUUUAAUGCUUUCAAUUACUUGAUCAAUAAUUGAAAGAAUAGAUGCUAGUCAAUUCCGGCACUUGAGAGAGGCGAAUUUAGGCGUGAUCAUAAGAUUGACACAACAUAGGUUUUACGGGUUUCGAGAGAAAGUGUAAAAUCUGUGAAGCUUACUCCAUACAAGAAUCAGGACUUUUAUAAAUUCUUGAUUUUCAAUUCGAAAUAGAGAUAUUGAAAUUGGAAUCUAUGAUUAUUUUCUAGCCGGCACUCGAGAGAGGGGAGAGGAAUUUAUUAGGAUUCUUGCUUUUAAAUAUGGGAAAAUAAAAUGGAAUUAUUGGAAAUCGUUAAAUCAUAAUUGAGAGUUAGGUGAAAGCAAUCCCUAGGCCUUCUCAUUUGAUUAUUUGCAUUCUCCAAUUUUAUCGCAUCCAAUCACGUUAGAUUUAGUUUAUAUCAUUCACUCAUAAAACAUUAAAUCCAUUUAAUCAUACAUUUGUCUAAAUAAAGUAGAAAUUGCACAAUUAUAGUACUUAGUGAAAUUUAAAUUAUAAUCACUGUGAGUUCGACACUCUUUACUCUAUUACUAUAUUACAAAACUUGACACCGUACACUUGCGGUAUAAAAUUACGUUGCAUAAAUUGUGUGGCACUCAUAUUCAAUUCCUUAUGUGUAAAGAAAUAUUUGAGACUCUUAUAAUCCAUGUAUCGCACUUUCCUGCAUAUAGGUAAUGGCAGCAUAUCUUUAAAGCACAAACUAUCGCCGCAAGUUCUAGAUCAUGCAUUGGGUAGUUCUGCUCAUGUUGCUUUAAUUGCCUUGACGUAUAGGCAACCACUUUUCUAUGUUGCAUUAGUACACAUCCCAAACAUUAUUUGGAUGCAUCACUAUAUAUAACAAACCCCUCUGACCUUCAAGUAUGGUUAACACGGGUGUUGUAACCAAUCGUUACUUUAACUCCUGAAAGAUUUGCUCACGUUUAUCUAUCCAUUGAAAAUUUACUCAUUUCCUUGUCAAUUGUGUCAUUGGUUCAGUUAUUUUGGAGAAUCCUUCUGUAAAUCUCCGAUAGUAUCCAGCCAAUCCCAAAAAACAUCAAACUUUACCAGCAUUAGUCGGUAUCUUCCAAUUAGUUACCGCUUCCACCUUUACUGGAUCUACUUCAAUUCCUUGGAAAGUAACUACAUAACUGAGGAAUCCAACUCGCUCAAGCAAAAAUUCGCAAUUUUAAAUUUGGCGUAUAACUUUUCCUUACGCAAUGUUUCGACACUAUUCUAAGAUGUUCUUCCUGUUGAUCUUUACUCUUGGAGUAAAUCAAAAUGUCAUCGAUGAAGACUAUAACAAAUUCAUCCAAAUAGUGAUGAAUACUCUAUUCAUCAGAUCUAAAAACACUGUCGGAGUAUUUGUCAAUCUGAAUAGCAUAACUGUGAACUUGUAGUGUCCAUAACGAGUUCUGAAAGUUGUCUUAUGUAUAUCACUUUUCUUAACCUUCAAUUGAUGAUAUCCAGAUCGUAAAUCGAUCUUAGAAAAUAUCUUAGCCCCUUUCAAUUGAUCAAACAAAUCCUCCAUUCUCAAAAGAGGAUACCUAUUCUCGAUGGUCAAACGGUUGAAGUCCUGAUAGUCGAUACACAUCCGCAUACUUCCAACUUUCUUCUUUACAAACAAUACCGGUGCACCCUUGAUGAUACACUUUGUCGAAUAAGGCCAAUGUUUAACAGUUCUUGUAACUGGAUUUUCAACUCCUGAAGUUCUUUUGAGGCCAUUCUGUAUAGAGGUUUAGAUAUUGGUGCUGCUUUGGGAACCAAGUCUAUUGUGAAUUUCACUUGUCUAUCUGGUAGAAUACCAAAUAGAUCUUCUAGAAACAUAUCUAUAAAUUCUUGUACCACUGGUAGAUCCUCAAUCUUUAUCGUUGCCAAUUUUUUUCCAAAGAUAUUAACUAGAAAUCCUUGAGAUGUUUCCUUUCUUGACAUUUUCUCAGCUUGUAAGGCCAAUACUAUUUGGAGUGGGGUUUGGUCUUUAUUCCAGGGAAAGAAAAUUGUUCCUCUCCUAGUUUUUGAAAAGACACUUCCUUUUCUCUACAACGAAUGGUUGCAUAAUUAUAUCCUAACCAAUCCAUGCCCAAAAUCACAUCAAAAUCUUUCAUCUCUAUUACAUAGAAAUUUACUUCAAAUGUUUUUUUCCUCAAUUUUAAAAUUCAUCGACCUAGCGAACUGAUCUGUGUUCAAUGUUCUGCCUGAGUGAAUGCUAACUUCUAAUGUACUCUUUGACUUGUUACAAUUAAUACUAGAUUUAGCAAUGAAAGAUGUUGAUACAAAAGAAUGAGUACUUUUGAAUCAAACAGUACAUAAGUAGAUGUAUCAGAUAUCGGUAAUAUACGUGCUAUCACAUUUGAGUUCUCCUCUACAUCCUUCCGAGUCAUUGUAAACACUCAUGAUUUUCCCUUCUUGUUUUGAUCAAUGUUAUUAUCCUUCUUCUAAGAAAAUAUGGGACAAUCCUUAGCAAUAUGUCCUGGCUUACCGCACCGAAAACAAGCAUUCUUCCCAUACAAGCAUUCGCUAUGAUAAGGGUUACCACACUUAGGACAUGGCGCUACUACAGCUAUUAUGCCCUCACUAGUACUAGGUCUAAUAUUAGCCUUCAUAUUUUACCAUUUGCCUUUUCCUUUGUCUUGACCAAUCCAUUUUCUCUUUCCAACUUAUCCUUUAUCCUGUUGGCUGUACAAUUGAAGGUGUUGCUCUACAUUUGCCUUCUGAUACCAAAUAGCAUGAGCUCGUUCCAGCAUCUCACGGUAUGAUAUGAAAUGAUGUGACAUAAGAAUUGUGCUUAGGUCUGGGUUUAACCCUUGCUCAAACCUUCAAGUCUUCUUAAUUUCUAUGUCCACCAGGUGUGGAACAUACCUUGAGAGUUGGUCAAAUUUUCGCUCAUAAUCAGUUAGGGACAUACUACCCUGCUUGAGUUGAAGGAAUUCAUUCUAAUUGAAAUCCCUUAGAGACUGAGGAAAAUACUUGUCCACACUUCCUCCUUGAAUUUUUCCCAAGUUAACGCCAAUUGCUGCUCCGAAGUCCUAGUUCGGGACAUCGAAUCCCACCAAUGACUUGCAUCACUGGUAAACAUAAACUUCGCACACUGGACCUUUUGGGCGUUAGUACAAUCGAUGAGUCAAAAAAUUCACUCUAACUUACGAAACUAGUCUUCAACUGCUAGUGGACCAGAUGCUUCAUUGGAGGAAGGGGGCUUAUACCUUCGAAAUAACUCAACCAUCGAGGCAUGAGUCGGGAGAGUAAUAGGAGCGACUGGUAUAGGUGGAGCUGGAUCAUGAUUCAGCCUGCCAAGAUCUUGAACAGCUUGUAGGAGAUCCCUUACAAAAUUUUCUGGUUUGCUCGAGACAUUUCCCUAGAGAUAAGAUAUAAUAUCUUACAUUAACUUCAAUUUCCAACACCAGAAAAAACCUCAACUUGAUCAGAAUUUAUUUUAUUCAGUACUUCUUGAAACUAGGAUAUAUAAUAGUUCGAUAAAUGUUUACUCUCAAUAACAUAAAGGAAAAGGUAUCACAAGGAAAUUGAAUCUAAAUUUCUAAUCCCUAUAAAUCUUGCGAGUCUUCUUUGGUGGAGAUUCAUCUUUGGAGGAGUCUUUUGCAUCAGGUCCUGACUCUAGGUCCAUUUCAACCUGUGGUUCAGGUUCAUACUCAUGAUCAUUCUCUAAUUCCAACCCAAAGUCAUCCUCAUGGUCUUAUUUGGGAUCUUCCUCUAGAAGGAUCUGACAAUAUAUACCAAAUUCAAUCCUAUUUGGGUGCUCUAGAGGGUUACUUUCUAGCAUCUCAUCCUUAAACAUGAUUCCCAUGUUUCCCCAUUGAGAAGGGAGUGAAUGUAAGAGGUUAUUCACAGCUCGAUAUACACGAUCUCCAGUCUCGCAUCUACUGCUGCCAUACAUUUCUCGUAGAUGUCAUGUAUGUGUUCAACAAGUGGAAGAGAUGAGUUAGUCACAUAGUUCUCAUAGGACUGAAUGAUGGACCUAGGUUCAACGCUGCUCUACAAGCUGUGGCCUUUCUAGCAGUCUGAUAAGUUCUAACCAUGUCUAUCACAUAAGUGUCCAAUUAUGUUUUACCUCUGUUAGUGAUAUCAACUUAUAUAUUAUGCUCUCAAGGUUUUAAUAUAAUGAGCAAUCAUCAUUUCUUCAUGUAUAUUUAAACAAAAUAUAACUUACACAACAUAUUUCAUUCUAAACAUCAAAAACAUUUUUCAUAAAUUCAAGCUUAAAUAAUUUAUAAAUCAUGCUCGAAAAAUAAAGUGGAACAUAAUAUUUCAUUCCAUACCUUGGAUUUGUCGGAUGAGGUCAACUGGUGGAUGCCAGAUACCAUGGAGUGCCUUAAAUAUUUCAUUUUUCUCAUUUCAUAAAUAAGAUACACUAAAUCUAUAGAAUCAAUUAAACUCGUGCUCUAAUGCCACGUUAUAAUGUCCCAACACAAAUGGAUCAAAACGUCACUAGAUUAACUAUACUUUAGCCGUAAAUUUGUUUAACUUGUUUUUAGUGGAAGGUAUAAAGAAUUAAAUUUUUUAAUAUAAAAAAUACUAAAAGAAAACAAUUUCAAAAAAAGAACUGAAUUCAUUCAUACCUUAUAUGCACUUUACAUGUUGGAUUAACACAUACUAUAUAUGCAACAUAUCGUAUUUUUAGCAUAUCGUAUCUGCAUCAUACUGUAUUUAUAACAUAUCGUAUGAGCAUCAUACCAUAUUUAAAACAUACUCUAUAUGUAUGUAACCACUAUUGACGUGAAAUUUUGCAAAACUUUAAAAGUAAUAUUGUUGUUUCAGUUUUUAUCUCAAACGGUAAUUAUCAAAAUAAAUUUGUUUGCAUAGCUAUCGACCUCGAAACUUCAUCAAAUUUUAAUCUAAAGUAGAAAAUCCUUAUAAUAUGACAUAGUCAAAAAUUAGCUUUCAUCGGUAUCAUGAGGUAUUAAAAUAUUUUUUUAAAACCCAGCAGCAACCCAGUUGAAAGAUAAACCGGUGUAGUUCAUUUAAAAUGACAUAUAAAGUUUAACAGACAUCAAAACCACAUGAUUUCAAAUUUAUUCAGUAGAUAGUCAAUGAGACUAUCAAAAUCUAAUUGGUUUCAUUUAGAAAUUCCAAGUAACGGUCGAGUUAUAAAUUUUCGAAGUCAAGACAGAAGUUGGAAAAACGGCAACUCCACCUAGUGCAGUUUACUUUAUGCAACAUAUAAAAUUCUAUGGAUAUCAGAUUGACAUGAUUCCAAGUUUAUUCAAUGGCCAACUUAUGAGGCUAUCCAAUACCACUAGUUUUGUAUAAAAAUGCCAAGUGAUGAAAGAGCUAUGAAUUUUUAAAGAUGAGGCAGAAUUUGAGUUUUUUUAAAGAGACGACAAAACUUUAAUCGCUAACAUAUUUUUUUUAAACGGUGAUUUGUAAAUUUAUUCUUACGACACAUAUCUACUUUCAAACAUAAUUUAUUCACAAAUAAUAUUCAUAAAAUAGAUCCACACACGACAUCCAUAGGAAUCUAAUUUAAAUAAAACGUAAACAUUUCAUAAUCAACUAAAGAUAUUAAAUCACUGGCUUCUCCAUGACAUGUUGCAUCAUCCUUUACUAUCAUCCACGCCCCAAGGAAAAUCCAGUUAACCUGUAGGAAGGAAACUAACCCAUGAGUUUGAAACUCAAUAGAUAUCAUCGGUGAAUUUCAUUGUCAAAUUAAAAAUUUCGAACUAUAGAUUCAUACCAUUGCACAUAGAUGAAUUUUCGACAAAAUCCAAUUACUAUAGCAUUGUCAUAACAUGUAGAGCCGGAGAAUAAUUAUUCAAACUAUUAUAGUACCGAAGCACCAUACUUGGAGGUACCAUUUCAUUCGAACAUUUAUCAAAAAUCAUAAUUUGAAACGAAGUAAAUACUUGCACCUCUACGUACCUUGAAUUUUCUUGGACAUCAAAGAGUAAAAUGUGUGGAAAGCAUUUCUUCUUCUCACCCUUUUUAGCUUAAAUUGAAAUGAAAUAUAUAUUUUUUGGAGGAAAAUGAGGUGAAAUUCGGAUUUGAAGAAGGGUGUAAUGAAAAAGUGACAUUCCACUUCUUGUAACCUUUCUUUUUAAUGAAAAAUUAAGUGGGGAGUUGUAUUAUUAUUAAAUUUAUUAAAUUUGGUCUUUAACUAAGAAUUUGAAGAGUCUCUAAACCAUGAAAAAAUAUUUCCUAUAAAAGUUUUAUAAAAACAUUCACAUGGUGAUUCGAACCUGAGUUGCCUAUAUGAAAUUCCAUGUGGAUGACCAUUGUGGCAACCCAGUUAUUUAUUAAAUUUUUGUAAUCAAAUUUACUUAAACUUAAUCGCUUAAAUUGUUAGGCCUUUAAUUAACAUAUGGUUUGGGCUUUCAAAAUCAUAAAUGGGUUGAGCUUCCAUAACUCGUUUCUUGAAUGAGCUAGACUUGUGGUGCUAGAUCAUCAUAACAUUAUAGCCUAAUUUCAUUUUAUUUCUUGGGCUUCUACAUCCCUUAAAUCUUAAACAAAUUUCGUCCUCGAAAUUUACCUUACGGAUUGGCAAAGAGUGUCGGAUAUUUGUCUUUGACUUCUUCUUCUUUUUCCCAAGUAGAUUCUUCUACUCCAUGAUUUGACUAGUUGAUUCUCCUUGUUCCGUAAUUUAUGUACCUUUCGAUCAAGUUUUUUAAUGGGUAAUUCCUCAAAAGAUAAAUCUUUUUGUACUUCCAGGGGUUGAUAAACAUGGACACUUUCACCCCCUUUUCAGAUCAUCUUUCUUGCUCUAAUAGUUGAUACUAGUAAAGUAGAUAAAUGUUUGAGCAUUCCUUGGAAGGCUACCAAUUCACCAUUAGAUAAACGAAAGUAAAAAUUUCCCAUGAACAAUCUAGAUUGGCUCGAUACUUUGAAAACCAAUCCAUAUCUAAAAUGACAUCACAGUCUCUCAUAUCUAGAAGAAUAAGGUUUGUAUGAAUAAAAUAAGUGUUGAUCAUCCCCUCACAACAAUUUAUUAUUUCUUUAGUUCGUAAUGUUUGGCCAAAUGGAAUAAGUAUCUCUAACUCAGACUUCAAACUAUCAGUUAGCAAAUGAGUCAUUCUAACUAUGCUAAUGGAUAUAACAGAGUGGGAAGAUCCAAAAUCAAAUAAAGUAUAAGCAAAAGUUCCAGCAAUAGGAAGUUACCACCAAUGACUGUUGGAACGUUGCCUAAAGUACUUUCAUUUAGUACGUAAACCUUAGCAAUAGAACAAUUUUCAUUGUCUUUGAGUUUUUCCAUGCAUACAAGUGAAAUAUGUCCUUGUUUACCACAAUUAUAACAAUACACGACCCAGUGUGAGCCUUGUUACACGUAGGAUAUAUCACACUACCUACUGGUUGACUGCAGGAAGUGAUAAUUUAAGCUAUCACAAUAGGAUAAAAACCUCAGCACUACGUCAAAAAUAGGUGGUCGAGUAAGCAACACAAGAAGCAAGCGUUGUAGCUGAUGUAUGAAUUACCCGACUUAGCUCAUCAUCAAUGUUAACCGAUAAGUAGUCGUAUUAGUUGUCCAACUUUUUUGGUUAGCCAGCCGAACAGAUUAUGAAUUUUUGAGUCCGAAAUAAUAAAGCAAAAGUAAAUGAUACUCGUCUUCCUCGAUAUUGAUGUUGACUUAAUACCAACUGCAAACGUUAACAAACUUGACAGCUCUUUUUAAGUAACAAAUCAAAUUAUGAAUAAGAUGUUCAUUCACUUGCUCUAAUUUGAAUUUGAACAUGAAUAUAGCUCAAAUUUACAAAUUGGUAGAUUUAAUCUAUAAUCAAAUUGAACUUGCUAGUUUGACAAAUAAAAUAAAGUGCUAGUUCAAAUUCAAUUAAACAUUUAAAUACUGUUAAAAGAAUUGACAAACUGACCAGUUCACUUGCAACACUAAUUGAUUCCUCUUCAAUAUUUUUUUGUUAUUUAUCUAUUUAGAAUUAUUAAACUGUUUUGAUCUUUUUACGGUUCGAGUUGACGUUGAAUUGAGUUUUUAAAUAAUUGAAAUUUGUGCCAGGUUACAGUUUGAGGUAAAUCAUAUGAAUUGGAGUUCAAAUUAGAAGUAUGUUUGAAAGUUAUUUAUUAUUAAUUUAAAUUAUAAAUAAAUAGAAAUAAGUAAUUGAUAAAGUGAUCUAAUCUAAAUUUUGUCUGAACAACUUGCUGUAGAAAGAGUAAUUCUAUUCGGUAUCAGUUUAUGUGAUAACUGUAUAACAUUAAAUGAUGGAUUUAUUUAAAUGUAAUCUCAUGUGAUUCAUUUAAUUGAAUCUAUCAAGUAGAUAUUUAAAUUGAUAUUGUAGUAGCAUCGGUAUUAGAUAGCCUUAUUAUAUUUCAUAGAGAGAGAGAGAGGAAAUUUUUUCUAUUACAAAAUCUACACAAAUCGAAAUGGACCCACUGAAUAUGAGCAAUAACCCACGCUUUUUGGGCCGCGAGAAAGCCCAUUCUCGUGUGAAUGUUUUAGCUCGCCCCUCUUUUUCAAAUGCUUAGAGCCAUUGAUAAUCAAUCAUACACCUCACAUUCAAACUCAAAAAAGGCGUGAAUUUUUUGUAAUUGAAAAAGAAAAGACAAGAAAAUAAUAAUUUUGUUGGUCAUGCAAACUCUGACAAAGUAAUAUAAUUACAUAGUUUGAAUUUUUUUUCUCGUCAAUUACACAGUAAAAGACAGCUAAAUGACUAAUUUGGGUUUGUUUAACCUCAAUACGUUUACUCUUCGUCAUUAAUCAAUUGAAAUUAUGCAUAAAUUCAAGCUAUUUUAUUUAUUUUUUAAAUAAAAUGUAAGGAGCAAUUCAAAUAAACACGUCACACUUUCUUUUACUUUAAAUGGUUGGAAUAUUUCGAUAUUUUCAUGCGUACAAUGACAUGUAUCGAAAUAGUUGUGUUAAUUAAGUCACCGAACUCUUAACAUUUUAUUUUGAGUCUAACAAGGCUCUACUUCUAAUAGAAGGCACAAAUAAAUGAAAAUAUGGGAAUUUCGACUGCUCUUUUCUUCCUUUAAAAGUUCAAAAAACACCCACAAAACAGAACAAGAAAAGAAAGAAAGAGAAGAGUUAGAAUAUAAGGGGAAAAUCAGUUUGAAAUUCAAAUGGAAUGGAUGAAGUUGUAUUAUUCAUAGAUGAAUUUUCAGCUACUAUACCGAUAUGUAGAAUAUGCCAUGAAGAAGAAUUUGAAAGCCGUAAAUCCAUGGAAGCUCCUUGUAUUUGUUCUGGAACUGUCAAGGUACGUUUUUAAGAAAAAUCUCAUAAUAUUUUGCUUUGAAUUAUGUCCCUGAUUAACUUUGAUUUCGGACUUUCAGUUUGCACACGGAGAUUGCAUAAAAGUCUAGUGGUGCUGGUCACAGUUUCUUUCUCAGUUCGACCGCUGGUCCUUGGUCGCAAUAGGUUUUCGAUGUCUCAGUGUUGGGUUGCUGGAUUUUUCGGUGUUGGGUUGGUGUUUUUGCAUCUUCGAUUGAAGUCUUCGAUCUCAGGUUACACUUGGUUUCUUCUUUCCUUUCCUGGACUGAGGUUUGGGUCAUAGGUGUUGGUUGUGUAGUUGGGUUGUGGUGUUGUUGGGCCGUUGAUAGGGGCUACUAUUAAUUAAUAGUGUUGGGCUAUUGUUUUGAUUAAUUAUUAGUUGGGCUAAAUUAAUUGGAUUGGGCAGAAUUUACUUAGUUAAAUUUUGAUUAAUUUGGUUGGAACAUACAAGAUUCCAUCAUGUCAACUAAUGAGAAUGAGUUGGUUUGUAUUUGCUUUACUGGAAAGAAUUACUCUUCAUGGGCUUUUCAUUUUCAAUUAUUGGUUGAAGGCAAAGAUGAUCUGUACGGAUAUAUUAAUGGAAAUCUUCUACCUCCUAAUUAAGAGAAAAGUAUCUUGCUGGGACAAUCAAAGAUUCCCGACCUAUGGUUUGGAUCAUUGGAUCGGUUGAUGAGUAUAUUGUCCUUAAUCUCAGGCCUUACAAGUCAACCCGUGUUAUGUGGGAGUUCUUGCAGAAAGUCUAUACUUAAAGUAAUAAUGCUCUGUGACUUCAAUUGGAGUUUGAAUUAGCAAAUUUCUCUCAGGAGUUACUUUCCAUUGAAGAAUAAUAUCCAGAAUUCUCUAAUCUUUGGGUAGAGUACACAAAUAUUAUAUAUGCUUCGAUUUCAUCAAACAAUUUAGAAGCUAUCCAAGCUGUACACGAAGUCACCAAGAGGGAUCAAUUUCUUAUGAAAUUGCAAACUGAAUUUGAUUCCAUCCUUCUAGCCUUAUGAAUCGUGAGUCUAUUCCAUCACUAGAUAGUUGUUUGGGUAAAUUAUUGAAGGAGGAGCAGCGUCUUAUCACUUGUAAUUCUUUGGAACAGCAGCAGAAUCAUGUAGCAUCGGCUCCUAUUGCUUAUGUGCUAAAGGAAACUUCAAGUCUCAAGAUAUGUCUGGUGUGUAGGUUUAUAACUCUAAGGGAUUUGGUUACAUGACUCUUUAGUGUCCCAGAAAAAAUUUGCAAUUAUUGAAUGAAGUCUGGCCAUGUUAUUAAGGAAUGUCCCACUCUUCCUUUACGUUAGAUUGGAGCAAAUUAUAUUGCUGCUGCCACUUAACCCUCUAGUUCUGCUUCACCACCUGCUCAUGUUCAAGUUCCAAUGUCUCCCAACUCUUCCUAGACUCCCAUAACUCUUGAGAUGGUUCAAGAAAUGGUUAUCUCUGUUUGUUUGCUUUGGGAGUCUCAGGUAAUACACCAUCUACUCAUUCUUCUUGGUUAUUAGACUCAGGUGCCUCUAAUCAUAAGACUUACGAUCCUCUGUUGCUUAGUAACCUUAGACCAUAUACUGGACCUUUCAAUAUACACACUGCCGAUGGUAACACCCUUCCUAUCUCCGCUGUGGGGAAUAUAUCACCAGGUUUGUCUAAUACUUUAGUCUAUCCUAACUUACCCACUAAUCUUUGAUCUGUUAAGCAACUUGUUGAUAAUAAUUGUCCCAUUUCUUUUUCUUCUUCUGGUUGUCAUGUAUAGGAUCAAGUGUUUGGAAGGACAAUUGUGAAGGGGCCUAAAGAGAGACGUCUGUUUCCUAUUUCACCGAAGCCUGUUCCAUUUUUUUUUUCUAAUUCUACCACUUUAGCUAUUUUUAAUUAGCAUAAAAAAUUGGGACGUCCCAAUUCAAAUGUGCUGUAACACUUGUUAAACUCGGAUUUGUUUGGUGACAAAAAUGUUGUUUCAUUUAUCUCUCACGAUUGUGCUUCAUGUAAACUUGCUAAAAGUAAAGUUUUACCAUUUUUUUGAUAUUAUUCAUAGUGAUGUACAGGGUGUUGCACCCGUGAUAUCUCAUGCUCAUUAUAAAUACUUUGUUACUUUUAUAGAUGAUUACAUUAGAUUUACAUGCGUUUAUUUUCUUUGUACAAAGAGUGAGGUCUUCUCUAUUUUUCAAGCCUUAGUUGCUCUCAAAUGCAAUCAAUUUUCCUCACCGAUCAAAGUCUUAAGUUCCGAUUCGGGAGGUAAAUAUAUGUCUAGUGCUUUUUAAUUUUCUUACAAAUCAAAGGUAUUAUUUUUCAACGAUCUUGCGCUUCUACCCCCCAACAAAACAGCAUGGCAGAACACAAGAACCAUCACCUUCUUGAUAUGGUUAGAGCUCUUUUGAUUGAAUCUUAUGUUCCCUCUCAUUUUGUGUGUGAAGCAUUGUCUACAUUGGCAUCUCAUCAACCGAUUACCUUCUCCCACUUUUAAUAAUGUUUCUCCACUUUUUAAAAUCUUUUGGUCAUCAUCAUCCAUAUUCUCAUCUCCAUCCCUUUAAGUUUGUAUGUUUUGUUCAUUUGCAAUCACAUGAAAAGGAUAAAGCUUACCCAUCAAUCUGUCAAGUGUGCCUUUCUAGGAUAUGGUGGGACUCAAAAAUGGUACAUUUGUUAUGAUCCUACAUUGCAACGAAUUCAAAUUUCUCGUAAUGUAUUUUUUUUUUUUUUUGAAAAACAAUCAUUCUUCAGUUCAAAAACUGUGGUUUUCCCUCUUGUAUUCUUUGUCUUACCUGAUUUUCCUUUAAAACCAUCUCGGUACAAACCUGGCCAUGUUUACACUGCAAGGAUGCUGUAUCUAUCACUAAUCUAGAUCUUCUUUCUCAGAUGAUGGUCCUUCCAAGACUUUCUGAUCCUCCAACUAUGACGCCUGAUCCUGUACCUGAUGAUUUGUCGCCUCCUAUCCCUCUUCGUCGUACUUCUUGUGUUUUUCGACCACCAGACAGGUAUGGUUUUUCCUCCUAUAGUUCUUUGUCUGCUAAACUUAAUUUGAUUUCUAUUCCUUCCUCCUAUAGACAGGCUAUGGAAGAUGAAUGUUGGCAACAGGCGAUGAAAGCAGAACUUGAGGCUCUUGAGGCCAACAAGACCUGGGAUAUUGUGCCAUGUCUACAAACUGUGAAACCCAUUAGCAGUAAAUGGGUAUAUUCCAUUAAAUUUCAUUCCGAUGGUUCUUUUGAGCACUAUAAGACUCGAUUAGUUGCUUUGGAUAAUCGUCAGGAGUAUGAAAGCAUAAAAUGACCACUAUUUGUUUCUUGUUAUCGUUUGCCACUUCCCAGUCAUGAUCUUUGCAUGGGAUGUGAAGAAUGCAUUCUUACGUGGAGACCUCAAGGAGGAUAUUUAUAUGAAACUUCCAUCUAUAUGCCUCUUCCCUCAAUUGACUCUAUAUAUAAGCUAAAACGCUCUUUGUAUUAUCUUAAACAGGCUUCUUAGGCUUAAUUUGAGAAGUUUCGUAGCGCUUUUUUAGAUUUCUCAUUUACUCAAAGUCGGUAUGACGUACCUCUAUAUUUUCACAUAUUGCUGGCAUUAUCUUUUUGUUUGUAUAUGUGGAUGAUAUUAUUAUCUCUGGAUCUGAUCACAGUCUUAUCUGAAAAUUUCAGCAACAUCUUCACUCGAUUUUUUAUAUGAAAGACCUUGGUCUACUUACUUACUUUCUUUGCUUAGAGGUACAUAUUACGUCACGUGGUAACUUCUUGAAUCAAUAUAAGUAUAUUAAAGACUUGAUUGGGUUGGCUGAUCUAUCUAAAGCAUCCUUGGUUGAUACGUCGUUGGAGCUUAAAGUCAAAUAUGGAAAAGAUAAAGGAGAUAUUCCAAAUCCUAAUCUUUAUAAUUUUUUAUAUGAAAGACCUUGGUCUACUUACUUACUUUCUUUGCUUAGAGGUACAUAUUACGUCACGUGGUAACUUCUUGAAUCAAUAUAAGUAUAUUAAAGACUUGAUUGGGUUGGCUGAUCUAUCGAAAGCAUCCUUGGUUGAUACGUCGUUGGAGCUUAAAGUCAAAUAUGGAAAAGAUAAAGGAGAUAUUCCAAAUCCUAAUCUUUAUCGGAAGUUGGUAAGUAGUCCCAUUUCUCUCACUAUCACACGUCCGAAUAUUUACUUUGCAGUUCAUAUUGUAAGCAAGUUUAUGGACGCUCCUCGUCAUCUUCAUUUGGUAGCCAUUCGUCACAUUAUUCGCUAUCUUAUUGGAACUCUUCAUCGUGAUCCCUUCUUUCCUUGAGGUCAUCUCUUGAGCUCACAGCUUAUAGUGAUGCUGACUGAUCUGGUUGCCCUGAAUCCUAUCCAUCUACUACUGGAUGGUGUAUUUAUUAUUAUUAUUAUUAUUAUUAUUAUUAUUUUUUGUGAUGCUCUCAUUUCUUGAAAAUGUAAGAAACAAGUUUGUGUUUCUAAGUCCUCCACCGAUGCUACAUAUUUUGAGAUUGUGUGGUCACGUGGUCGUCUUGCAAAACUUGGUAUCUCCCAAUCACAGCCUAUGCCUCUUCGUGGUGACAACAUUAGUGCUAUUCAAAUUGCAGCCAAUCUUGUGUACCAUAAACACACGAAACAUAUAGAAGUGGAUUGUCAUUACAUUCGGGAUGCCUAUUAUUCCAAGGUCAUAUCUCUUUCCCAUGUUUCCACUUUACAACUGGUCGUAGAUAUCUUCACCAAAUCAUUAAAUCGCCUCUGUCAUAACUUUCUCGUGAGCAAACUGAUACUUGUGGACUCUCCACUAUCAAUUUGAGGAGGAGAGGGAGGAAUAUUAGAGUAUAUUUCCAUGUAUAGGUUAAUAAAUCAUAGAAAAUCAAGGAUUAAUUUCAUUGUAUAGCUAAUUAUUUUCUUUCCUUAUAUAGCUUGUAGCAUUCUGUAAAUCAAAUGUAAUACACACGAGAAGAUUCAUUCCUCAAAACCUUGUCAUAACAGUGUAAAGAUAAGAUCGGCAUUCGUUGAUAAGCUUCAGUUUGGACUAAUCCAAAAUUUAUUAACAUGGAAACAUGCUUCCUUUUGCCAUAGUUGUUUUAAAAUGGAAAAAACCAAUUCCGCCUAUGCCAAGUAAAUUUUGAUAGAUCGUAAAAUUCAGUUUUUAUAAGAUAAAAGCGUAAACAACCCAAUUCCUUUUGCCAAAUGUUUGUUCUGUAAAUUCAGUCUAUCAUUUCCAGAUUUUAUUCUUUAUAUGGUUCAGGACACAUUGUCUCCAGACAUCCAUGACCAUCUUCAAGAAAAAACAAGUGUAAACAGUUCAGCUAAAAAGGAUAUCCAUUCUUGGGAUGCUCCGAACUUGUAAUCAAGUUUCUUUACCAUUUAUAUAUAUAUAUAUAUAUACUCUGGAUGAUUUCAUAUUAAUAUAUAUACUUCACGCCAGUGGGAGUUUGGGAUUAUAAAUACACACACGCAGAGAAUUCUAGUGAGUCAUUCUCUUAUAUAUAUUCUCUCCUUCUUACGCUCUUUCAAAGAACCCGAAAAAACAAGUAAGAAGAAAAAAUUUUUUUGUUAUAAAUCUGCAAAUAUUUAAUUAUGUGAACACCUAAUUUGGUUGAUGUUUAAGAGCAAACAUCUUUGUUGAGUGAAAAAUCCACUGGCUUCUUUUUCUUUGGUUGUCUCUUCUGAUUAUAAACUCGAUUGUUUGCAGAGAAAGAUACAAUAAUCUUUCACAUGCAGGUGAAUAUAAAAUGUGCUCGUAAUCAUGGAUUAUCAAAUAUGAAACUUGAAGAAUUUAUUGUAAGAAAAGAAAAAGUUUGAUUACAUUGUUAUUUUAUAUUAUUAUUCUUGUCUUGAUUUUCUUUCUUCUUUAGGAUGAUUUUUUUAAGUAUCACUGCUUAUGGAAUUACACUUUUGGGAAAUUAAUAAAUUACUAAUAUUCUGAAAAGCUGUUUUUUUAAAUAUGUUUUAAAUAACAUAGAUGCAUGAAUUUAGGGUAGACUGUUGUGUAACAAAAGUAUAUAUGUUGAUAAAACAUUAGCUAGCACGACAAAAGAUGUGGCUUUAAGCCUAAAUUUUAUUUGUUCAUAAAACCCUAAGUGGCUUUAGCAAUUCUUUUUUUGGUCAUAAAAUGAUUGAUUUCUUUCGUAGCAAUACACAUUUUUGGGGUUGGAUUUUUUGCCUAAUGUAUAUGCAUAAAAUAAUUGAGGUAAUAAAAAUGUUGUUUCAGUUAUCUCUCUCAAUUGUGCUUCAUGUAAACUUGUUAAAAGUAAAGUUUUACCAUUCCCGUCUCAUGGUUCUCGUACUUUACAUAUUUUCGAUAUUAUUCAUAGUGAUGUAUGGGGUGUUGUACCUAUGGUAUCUCAUGUUCAUUAUAAAUACUUUGUUACUUUUAUAGAUGUGGUGUAAGUAACAAGAAUUAUGACGUGAAUAUAUUUACCCAUAAUAUUUUCAAAAAGAAGGAAAAUUGCUAUAAUCCUCACCAAGUAAUCUUCAAAACCACCAAGACAAUUGUGAUUCAACCAUUGACAAUUGGCCUUGUAAUAACCGUGUCUAUAAACCCAUCAUUAACUAGUAGAAUGAUGUAAGCAGAAUACUUCAGGUCUUGUGAAAAUCGGGCUUAGCCAACUCCAAAUGAACAUCAAAGAAAGGUUCUUGCUCGUUCUACGAUCCAGGAUAAGAACUAACUCAUGAAUUUUUUGAUCGAAAUCGAAAUGGAGGAUUGGUACGCAAUCUACACAAUACAGAGUUCAUGGAGAAGGCUUAAGGUUUAUGGACUAACAUAAAAGUUUUUAUUGCUUGGAAAUGAAUGAUAUGGAUUGUAAUAUGAAACUUCUAUGAAAAUUAUAUGAACUAGAUUAAGAAUUUUAGUAUACCCUUAAUCAUUCUUUUUCGUCUUCCAACUAUGCUGCUGAGAUGGAAUUCAUAAUUUUUGUACUUUGUGACAUUCUUCCUUCCCUACAUUAUAAUGCUUAGUUUCAUUUCCAACAUAUUGCUACUUUCUUUUACUGGAGGGUCACAUAGCGCUUCUUGAAUUUACUUGAGACUACUUGAUCAGCUCUUGAAGUCUCGAUUAGCUACACAUUAUCCCUCAACAUACUCCCAAGCUCGACUAAGAAUGAAAAGUACUGAUGGUGAAGGCUUUAUAUAUAUAUAUAUAUAUAUAUAUUGACAUUUAAAAUGGUCUUUGAAAUGAAAUAGAGGAAAUAAGUGGGAGUGACUCUUUGACUAACCUUUAUUCCCACAUUGCCCCUUGACCAAUUAAAAAAAAAAAAAAAAAAUUAGACAAAUAAAUGGACAAACUUCCAUAUUUGCUCUCAUCUUCAACAAACAAACUAGAGAGAGGAGGAAAAAAAUCGAAAACAAGAAAAAAAAUUCAAAAAUCACACAAUCGACUGUUAAGGUCUGAUCCUGUCGAGCCCCAAAUCACCACGACCAUAGAAAGUUUCUUAGAACAAGGUAAAUUUUCUAUAGUUAAACAUUGAAUUUUUCAUUUGAAUAUUUUUGUUAAUAUGUGGAUUAUAUGUUGUUAUUAUUGAUGUAAAAUCAACAUUUUUAAUG